Molecule: long non-coding RNA, 80777 nt
Filed under: Sorghum bicolor (sorghum)
Lineage: Eukaryota; Viridiplantae; Streptophyta; Magnoliopsida; Poales; Poaceae
Description: long non-coding RNA (SBIC_LNC012059)
Rfam family: MIR5387 microRNA precursor family (bases 41484-41577)
Source: RNAcentral
CACGUGAUAUACGAGAAAGAUUUGGUUCAGGUAAUUAUGCAUGUGGUUCAAGCAUCUAUCUAAAAAAAUUGUGACCACUGCCACCAUUGUGAAGUGUUCCAUAAAUAUGUUUAAUAUCCUUUGCCAUUGCCAAGACACAUGUUUUUUUCUCUACACAUUCCUUUGAACGCAGAUGCUCAAAAUUGGGGACAACAUUGACAUACCCUGGAUUGCCAAAGCACUGGAUUGUUGCACGGCAACACCAAAGUGUAGAGGCACAAGCUUGCAUUGAGGGGAUGGCAUGAGGUUAGGUUCAGCGGCAACUACUUAAGGUCUUGUUUUUCUAUCCCAACUAAUAAUUUUUGGUUUGCUUCGUCAUGUUAUUUUGGGAAGCAAGACAUGUCAUUAUCUACAAUUGCCUUGGGUACAAAAGCUUUGUCAAAUUGUUUGCAAGGUUCAGAAGGAGCUGCUCCUUUUAUUGACUAAAAUUAUAAAAACAGUACCUACUGCAAGAGAGAUUGAAUCUAAUUCUAAUGCAUUUUGGGGACUCUGGUUGUAAUGAUAAAGUUUAAAAAACGCUGGCCAUAUUGAAUUAAUCUUGCUCGAUGUUGCCUCUCCUGCCAAUUUGCCAUAUAAGUUGAUUGGUUCUGUCUCAUCUAUUUAGCUAUUGCACACCAAUUAUAUUGCAUGCAGACUCAUCAGGCUUACUUUAUAAGUGUACUUUACUAAUAAUUAGUGUUACCUAUAACGCUAUGACACUAAAAACGACAUCCUUAUUCUUUUUUGCAAUGUUUCCUUCUCGACUGCAUAUGUCGAGUGCUUUCCGCAAGCCAUCUGAAAAAAAGGUUUAAAAUGUUGCUACUUUUUUUUGCAUUAGAAGAACAUUAAUUCCUCAAAACAAAAUAAAGGUUUUGUACGAAUGUUUGUGUAUUUGUUAAAACAUUUUGACUCAGUAAAUAAAGUCCCUUUUGUAUUUCUUCUUCUUCUCUAUUACGAAUAUAAUCAAAUUUACUAUUUUGCUUCAAAUGAUUUGUUUUCUAUUAAUCCCCUUACUCCAGUCAGUGUUUCUUCGUAUAUCUCUUACAUCACUUAGUUUCAAAUUAGACAUGGUUAUGAAAACAAAUACUUUAGAUUACUGACUCAUAAACAAUUGAACAGGUUUAUCUAAAUCAAUUGGGUGUCAUUUGAAGCUAUUCCAACUUAAGCUGGUGUUGGCUCCUUUCAGCCUGCACAAAAGGAGAGAAGUGCUAUAUUAGAGUGAACAUGAUCCUUGCCACCAGCAAGUAACAGGGGAAGGUGAGGUGAGAAUUAGAAUUGUCUUCAAUUUUAGGUGUUCAUGCCGCUUCAUUUAGAGCACCUUGAGGAAGUUCGUGUCUUAGGAUGAUUAGUAUAGCUAUAGCUUACCUUAUUUGUGGAAGGCUGCAAAAUCUAGAUUUUACCAUCGCAUCAAUUUUAAAGUUCAAAGGUCCAAUUCAAGACUGCCAUGACUUGGCUACAUCACUUAAAGUAAAAGAGUCAACAAAAUUUAAGUUCCUAACAGAGUUGCUUUUCUCUAAAACUAUUUUUAGCUGCAAAGGAGUGCCUUAAUAGAAUAUUGAAAUCUCACAUGUGUUACAAAUAUGUAAUAGUUGAUGCUAAUAAUUCUGUAUUGACAUUUUCGUAGGCCACUAAUGAAUUUUCCAUAAGAAACAAAAGACAAUUUCUUCGUUUUUGCUUUGUAUAUAUGUGACUGACAUGUCAAUGAUUUUUUUCCCUCCUAUGACGCUCUUGCCCUUGUGAUGUGUCUUUACAGCACACCAUUUUAGAUCAGAUAUAACCUCUUACUAACACUAGCACAGUUCUUCCCAAACAACGCCUCACUGUUCACAUCUCCGGAAUACCACCACAUCGCUAUUGUGAUUUCACAGUCCACUGUCUUCUCAGUGAAACAUGCACAAUCCAUGCCAUCUCAUUUUGUCAUGCAACAUUAUCGUACUCAGUUGAUGUUCAUGGAUCACAAACCCUCAUGUCUCAAGCAGCACAUGUAGCACUUAGUAUGAUAACACGCUAUGGUUGUCUCCUCAACAUUUGGCCAAUAUGGUAUGACACAUAUAUGGAAGAAAUGCUUGGCCGACUAUCCUCGACAACCUAUGACCGGAUGCCAUCUUUGCAUGGAGGUAUUCACAUCCACAUCUGCAGUCUAAAUGAAAAAAAUAAUAGCACAACAUAAGUCGAAAACAAGAGAAGCUCUCUUUUUUUUUCUCACCAUCUUUUACUUGACCAUUUACAGGAGACACUCAUCUUGACAUAGAGGAGCAACAUGAAGCAUAUACGUACUCAGGUAUGUAAACACACUAUAAAAACAAUAUAUUAAUAAACAACACCAUAACAUAGACAAAACAAUUACUUUUAAUGUACCAGACGACCAGAACAAAGACACCUCCCAACCACUAAGCAAAUAAAUUUGCAUUGCAUUUUGCCUACACCUCACACUACUGAUACUUUGCAUACUAACAUAUAGCGAUGACACCCCUUCCUGAUUCUCGACAGGCAAAACACCGUACCACACCAUCCUGACACGGACUCAUCCAUCAACAUUUCACGUGAAGCAUGAACAUUGGUUAAUAGUGAUGUCUACAGCACAACCACCAAAACUCUUAAACCCAUAGCUCGCUUUCCUGUAUAAUAUUUCGGGCGCAUACUGUCAAAAUGUCUUUGAACACCACAUCUGACACAAAUAAAUUAGCACCCAACUGGAUAAUUGUGUCGUGUAAUAUACCAACCCAGCGCCCUAUGAUGCUUUGGUAUGUUGAGCCAAAUUCAGCGUGUACCAAACCUAAUGACUACUAUGAUAUAUACUCUUUUAUAUAUAAUAAAUACUAUGCUCUGUACAUUCUCCUUAAAUACCAUGAUGGCUCACUCAGGAUUGCUUAUGCUAAAGCGCAAAUGCGCGCGCCAUCAACUAGUCAAUAAAAACACCCGAACCGAACCGGCGGCGGCUGCUCGCCUGCCCGACCCGGACCCGUACUCGGGCAUUUUUUCUUUAGCGACCCGUACUCGGGCAAAUGUAAAGCUUGAUCACUAUGAAUCCAGAACUCGAGAGAAACAGCCCAGACAGCCCACGACCGGCCCAGUCUCAUCACAAACGCACGCGCACGUCGCCGUCGCCAUCGCCCCGCUGUAACCCUACCCUAGCCGCCCCGAAGCUUCCCGUCCUUCUCCUUGCGGCGGCCGCGGGCGGCGCGGCGAGUCGGCGGCCACCCGCCCCCAUCUCCUACUUGAGCCUCCCAACCUCACCGGCGCUGUCCGCCUCCUCCCCCUCCCACUCCGCACCGUAGAUCUUUCUCCUCGGCGCUCGGGAGGACCACUCAAUCCACCUUCACUUCACCGUGCGGGAUCUGAUCGCAAUCGGAUCCCCCCCGCCGGCGCCGCCGCCGCCGGGGUCGCCUCCCCGGGAGGAGCCCCGGGCCCGACGAGACGGAGGCGAGGGUAGACGACGGAGGCGAGGAGGACGAGGAGGCGGGGGAGGGGAAGCCCAUGCCGGCCGCCGGGGCCCGCCGCUCCACUCGCGUCUUCAUGCCCAAGGCGCCCAAGCCGCCGCAAUCCCAGGACCAGGCCGACCCCGCCACCCGGGUCCUCCGCUCCGGCAAGCGCCUCGCCGCCGACCGGAUCCGCUGGGACGCCAAGGAGGCCCCAGCCUUCCACGUCGACAUCAACCACGGCCACGGCCACGACCAGCAGCACCAAAAGGAGGAUUGCCCCAAACCGGGAUUGCCACCUCUGACGAAGUCCUUCGGGAUCGUGUACAGUAGGAAACGCCGCCGCCGGAGGCACUCCGCCUCCGAGGUCGUCGCCGAGGACGAGGACGGCAGCAGGAGGUUUGGGAUAGUAUAUACCAGGAGGAAGGGCAAGCGAUCGAAGGUCAGCCAUCUCCUUCCGCAAGAGCGAGCGGUCCCCUGUGACCUCGCCGCCGCGAUUCCAUGCUCCUCCUCCCUUGAGUUUGCGUCAAGAACUGGCUUCUUGGAUGCCCAUUUAUCGGCCCUUGUAGAUGGUGCCGCCACUCACUCUGGGGCUCAGACGCUGAUCAUCCUUGUUGAUACGUCUUGCCCUGGGAGCUCUCACCGGCUCCUUGGCCUUCUUCUACCCAUGCUGCGGUGGAUGUGCCGCAGUAGGCAGCGUGGAAAGUUCCAGAACCUUGCUACUUUCAUCAUGUCUGCUGGCGUAGCUGCUGCGUUUGCAUUCCAUGGGGUGCACUUUGUCAAGCUCCAGCGCCGGAGUGCCGUAAGCUUUCUACAGCCUUCAUCAGCCCUAUUUUGUUUCUGGUAUAAUUGGUGUAACAUUUGUGCUUCUUUCUGCAGUCUGCAUUGUUACAUAGGCCUCUUGCGCACUGUGGGUGGUGUGCGCUUCAUGGUUCCAAGAUAUCUGAACCGCUUCUGUCAGUUGAUUUCUCAGCACUUCCUUCAUACUUUUGGAGCUUGCAAUAUGCUGUAGCUCUUGAAUCGAUGUAUCUGCCAGCUAUGAUUCGGCACAGCAGGCUGCUGGAUGGGGGAUCUGAAGAAAUCUAUCCUCACACUCCUUUGUAUUUGGAUUCUGGGGCUCAAAGCAGUGGUUUUGCCACUACUGACGUGGGCAGCAAUGAACCUUGCAGAGUGGUUCCGAACUACAUGCCCCUUGAACAAGUUGCUGGACUAGUGGCACAUGGUCUGAGGCUAAAGAAGCAUCAAAGGCGGAGGAGAACUAUGAGACAUCCUCGAAAUCGGCGGCGGCUUAUAACUAGAUUACCUGACAAUGGAAUUGGGAUGAAGCACAGCAUGGCUGCCACGCAAACAGAAUUAAAGCUGCGAUCAAGUAGGCAAGAACCUCCAGUGGAGCCUCUCCAACCUAAAGCAACAUUAGAAAUUUCUCUUGAUUUGCUUGAAAACAUGGAUGAAAGUGAUGUUUCGACUCCCAUGGGAUCAACUAGGAGAAAGAGAUCUUCUUUGAAGAGCCCUGUCGAGAGAAUGAAUGAAAAGCUGGCCUUGGCUGAGGUGAGACAGAACAUAGAUUCUGUUCACAGCAAAGCAAACCUUCUAAAUCUUCAAGCUGAUAGGUGCUGGAGGGAAGAGGGUGCUGAAGUUAUGCUAGAACUAUCAGAUACCAAUAAGUGGUGUAUAGUUGUGAAGAUACAAGGUGUUACUAGGUACUCUCUUAAACCUUCAGAUAUGAGGUCAUAUGUCGUUAAUCGUCAUACUCAAGCCUACAUGUGGGCAGUUGAUGAUGCAUGGAAGCUUGAGUUCACUGAUAAGUGGGACUGGCUGUUAUUCAAAGAGUUGCAUGUUGUGGGCCGUGAGCGUAAUUCCCAGGGGAAGACGAUCCCAAUUCCUGGGGUACAUGAAGUUUCUGAUGACAUGGAAGGGAUUGUUACAGAUCCUUUCUCACGCCCUGUGCCAGACUAUAUCAGGAUGGUGGAUGAUGAAGUUGGACGAGCUAUCUCAAGGGAUUCUAUUUAUGACAUGGAUUCAGAGGAUGAACAAUGGCUCAUUCAGUUGAAUCAUGCAGAUUCUGAUCCAAACAGCUCUCAAAGGGACCAUAUCUCUUACGAAGACUUUGAGAGGAUAAUAAGCAUAUUUGAAAAGGAUGCCUACAACAAUCCCCAAGGAAAAAAUGAUUUGAGUGAGCUUCUUCCCAGAUAUCCUGCUUUAGGAAAUGAUGAGAAUGUGCAUGCUGUGUAUGAAUAUUGGACAAGUAAGAGGUCCAAGAGAGCUGCACCAUUGCUAAGGGUAUUUCAGGUAAUUUUGGGGUUUCUCAUACCCAUUUCCAAGCUCAACACUGCUUUGUUAUAUCAUUUCCCUUUUCUACUGUCUAGCCUUGAUUAUACCAUCUACUGAUACCAGUUACCUAUUACCAAAGCUUAAUUCUUUUUACAGCUAUGUCCUGUUAUUUCUCUUUUUGUCAAGCUUUCAUUCAGUGUAUAUUAUCUAAUUGAUACACUGUUUCAACCUUAGGGUGCACCCAUAAGGCGAGGACAUCUAUCACAAAAGUCUGCCAUGAAGCGAAAGAGAUCUUUUAAGAGACAAAAAAGCCAAGCCGGUCGUGGAAAGCCUGAAGCUUUAUUGCUAGGUAAUUACUACUGCAUAAAAAACCCUACUGAGCAAUACAUUUAAAUCUGAUAAUGUGGAAAUCCAAUCAGGAGACAGAUCUUAAUCACCUUCAAUUCUUGCGCUGUUGGAUGAGUCCCCUCCCCCACCCACCACCACCACCCAUAGAAAGAACCAUGUUUAUCUCCUUUGUUUAACAUUUGAGAUCCAUAGCAUUAAGACCUUGUCAUGGACUUCCUUCUUCUGGGGCCAAUCUUGCUAUGCACUUGUCAACAAAAUUAAAACAAUAAAAUAUGUGCCCUAAGUAUGAUACAUCUAAAAGCAACUCCAAGAGACUCUCUAUAUCAUUCCUAAUUGCUAGAAAUAGAGAUUUUGAUGGAAAAAUACUCUCCAGCAGCUUCUUUAAAUGGUUAUCCAAAUAUAGCCAUCCUCUAUUCAGUAUUUCUUGCUUAGCCUAAGUUAGUGAAAAUGGCUCUCUAGAGUGUGCUCAAGAUAUAGAAAGGCCGUUGGAGAGUGGAAAGAUAUAGAAAGCGAUUUUUAUGCAGAUGGCUUUGCAAACGAUGAUUUAGAGAGCUAGUUUUAGAAAGAUUAUUGGAGAUGCUCUAAUGGCAUUAAUCGGUGGCCAAUCUAGUAUUUAUCACAUUACUAUGGUUCUACAGAGGUAGAAUAAUCUUAUUUCAUUUGUUUGUGCAUUAUGGUUGACAGACAAUGCUGAAGAGGAGGCAGCUUUGCAGAGAGUUGCCCAAGCUGAACGUGCAGCAAAACAGGCUGUAGAAACAGCUAUUCGACUGCGCAACAGAGCCCAGUCUCUCAUGACAAACGCAGAGCUCGCGGCAUACAAAUCCAUCAUGGCUCUCAGGAUUGCCGAGGCUGCUAGGAUAUCUGACUCUUCACGAGAUAUUGUUUGUACUAUCCUCGACUAAAGAAGAAUAUGGGCUGUUCAUUGAUUUGUGUGGAGGACGUGGGAAUACUCUUUUUUCUUUGGUUGCAUCAUCGCCCAUGAUAUUGGCUUUUCGAUAAGCUGUGGGACUAUUUUUACCCCCUCUCGUGUUGUUAACUUUGUCAGGCCAAUUUUGAGGCGAAUGCUUGAACUGAAAACUGUAAUUUCUUGUAUAAAUGAAAGUAGCUAGCUAGAUUCUGUAUGUUAUGGGAACUGAUGUUCUGUAGAAAUGAUGAAAGAAAAAGUAAAAAAAAAAAAAGCAUGAGAUGAAGGGAAAUCAAGCAUCUGUUUGCAUCCCUUUGUCUUCAGUGAUAUAUGUUAUCUUUAAUGUGUCCCUUUUCUCUGUUUUUAUCAGUGUGUGUAGUGUCUCUUCUCUGAAAUUAGUUGCUUUAUAUAUAUCUUGUAAAAAUGUAAAUAAUAUUUGCCAUCGACUGUUGUAAUUGAGCCAUUGAAAUUUGUUCCCAUAAUGGAAGUAGUGAAGUAAAGGUAAUAAUAUUUUGGUUGACCCAUCACUCAUCCUAUGCUUAUUGACUCAGUUUUAUUUCACCAUGGUCCAUUUGCUAUAUUUUGAUUUAUUUCCACUUAGUUAUCUAUACAAUACUCCUAAAGUUGGAGCACUGGAGCCCUCUCACAAAUCACCAGCACCCCCUCACACAGCACUGUUCCAAGCACAGUAACAUUUUACCACCGCAGGAUCUCUAACCUCCUCACUACAACCAUCCAUGUCUUCCACGUUCCGGGUUUCUAUCCUAUCGCAUCUCCUCCUGAAUUAAAAAAAAAAGCAUAUCAUAUUCCCUCAUUCCCUCGUCAAUCAAAAAAAGAGUACUGCAUCGGCUACAUCCUCGCUUCAGACCGUGGCAUCCCCGGGACGCCAUCCUCCUGCCGUGGGCACCUCGCCUCAUCCUAUGAUUCGCCUCCCUUUGCGCUCCUCCACGAUGCGCCCAUAUACUGGGUGCCGCGGGUGCCCGUAUAUUGGACCUAUAACCUAUAUGUACAUAUUGGUUUCAGAGCACAGUCUUCACGAUUGGAGCUGCAGCAUAUAUGUAAAUAUGCACUUCUGUUUUUACUGCUUUAUGCUUCUACAAUACACUUUCAGUAACAGAAGUGAUAUCACAACAUUUUAUCACUUCCCUACCCCUUGUGUUGCGCAGGGUUUCCUGCUAGUCUUCACUAUUUUUUGUGUGUAUUCGUUGUUGUUUAUUUGUUGAGAUAUUUAUCUGUAUAGCCUUAAAAAACAUGUCUUUUUCUUGUGGCCUUAUUUUUUUAAGAGUAAAGUUCAUUAUCAGUCCCUAAACUUGUCUGGGUAUGUCAUCUUGGUUUCUAAACUUGCAAAACGAUACCUGAACUUGUUUGGUUGUAUCAUCUUAGUCCCUAAAUAUGAAAAUCUCUCAUGUAGGUCCUCAAACUUGUUCGAUUGUGUCAUCCAGAUCCCUAAACUUAUUUUUAAGUCUCAUUUGGAUAAAAGAAGUCGAAUCUAAAAACUCUAUAUCAAAAAAUAACUCAUAACUUUUCAUAUGAACUCAAAUCAAGAUAAACUAUCAAAAUUAUAGCCAGCAAUGCGAUCUACAACUUUAUAGUUGAAAACUUUUUAAAUUAAAAUCAUCUAGGGUCCCAAAAUGUUUUUUGUACGUUUAUAGGUUUCAAAAUUUAAAAAUUUAAAAUAAAUUUUGUGACACUAAAUAACUUAAAAUAAAAAAUUCUACUACAAAGUUGUAGAUCGUGUUAAGGGCUACAACUUUGAUAUAAGUUUUUCUUCAUUCGAGUUCAUAUGAAAAAGUUAUAAAUUAUUUUUUCCAUUUAGAGUUUUUAGAUCGCUUUGUUUUGACCUAGAUGAGAUCUAAAACCAAGUUUAGGUACUGGGAUGAUACAAAUUAAUAAAUUUGUUGACUUAAAUGGGUGAUUUCUAAGUUUAGGGACUAGAAUGACAUAGCUAAACAAGUUUAGGGACUGGGAUGACAUAGACGAACAAGUUCAAGGACGUAAAUGAUCGAUUUACGAGUUUAAGGACCGAGAUAACACAAAAGUACAAGUUUAAGGACCGGGGUGGACUUUACCAUUUUUUAAAUUUAUGUGACCUUAAAAUACAUGUGCCUUAUUUUUCUGUGGCUCAUUGUUUUUUUGAAUUUACCUACAUGGCCCGAGAACAAAAAAUCUCUUUCUUCUAUCAUCUUUCGUCCAAUUUAGACCACUAAAAUAUUUUCCUUCUUUGGUCUUUCGUCCAAUUCAGGCCACUGAUGGUGUGUGGAGUAAAAUGGACGAAAAGAAUAAAGUUUUAGCAGAAAAAUUGUAUCAUCGUAUGAAGACGAUUUUUAUAUUAUAAUUGUAGCUCUUAAUAAGAUCUACAAGUUUCUAGUUUUAAGUUUUUUAAUUUAAAAUCUUUAAGAUACUCAAAAAUAUUAAAUAAAGUUUUAGUAGUAUAUUAAUCGUGUAUAACACUGGUCGUCUUGGAAAAAUUAUAUAUUUCUUAUAUGAUGUUAAAUAGAGAUGCAUUAUAAAUGAAAGUUAUAGCUUUUAGUAUAAUCUACAAUUUUAUAGUUUUAUUUUUUUCAUUUAAGAUUAUUAAGAUGCUCAAAAAAUAAUAUAAAUUUCAGCAGCAAAUUAAAUCGUGUACAAGCCUAGAAACUACAAUUUAUGUACUAUAACGUGUGACCUUAUUUGCGGAAUAUUACUCUAAAUCUAAAACAAACAAACUAAUGUAUAUUUAGGUUUGUUACAAAAGCUAUAUUUUGAAAAAAGUCAGAAUAAUUUAUAAUUUGGAACAGAACGAGUAGGAUUCAUAUGGUGUUAUUUUGUGUGUGCAAUGGUUACAAAAUGCUAAUUUGAAGCUAACUUGUGUCUUUGCUAAUUAUUGCUUGACUUUGUUCUUUUUUAUCCAUGUGUAUUUCUGUUCGUACUUUGUUAGAGCAACUCCAACCAUUAUACAAAUGGAUUUGGCAUUUACCAAAAUGCAUAAAACUCUAAAAAAAACCCCUCCAAUCGUUAUGCAUUUGGACUUUGCAUUUUACAUAACUAUGUAUUUGGAGGGGGAAACUUGGCAUAUAUGCCAAAGGAGUCCGGCUAUGCAAAUAGAGAUCACGGGAUUCUCAGUUCCACCUCGCGGGCUUUUUUCUUCCCUUCGCGCGGUUUCCCUUCGCGCCGCCACCACUUCGCGCGAUAGGAGAAGCAUUGCGCGUCCUCCUUCGCCAGCUUCGCGCGCGCGUUUGGACGAAGCGGCUAGAUCCAUUCUCCGGUACCCUCGAUCCCAUGUUGGCUUCACGAAAUUCUGCUGCUCGCGAGCUGCAACGGCUUGACUGAUGGCGGCGACCUGCCUUGACGACGAACUGAUGGCGGCGAUCGGAAACUAAUGGGGAACAUGACCUGAUGGAGAUCGGUACUGGAGCCAAGGGGCGAACCUGUACGACGACGAACUGAUGGCCAACAGACGACGAACUGGUACGGUGAACGGGAACUAACGGAACGGGCUACUGCGAGGCUGUUUGGCGCGAGAAUUGGUGAACGGGAGACGAUGGCGGGCUGUUUGGCGCGGGAUCGAUUGGCCGCGCGGGAAGGAGUGCCGCGAAACAAAAUUUCCGGAAAAAAAAAGAUGAUGGACUUGACAUUUUGCAUAACGGUUGGAGAUCACCCGAUUUUAGCCUUGCUAUUUUCAUUUGGGGGUUUGCAAUUUGCCUAAAAUGCAUAACUUCAAAUGCAUAAUGGUUGGAGAUGCUCUUACACGAUGCAUCUGUGUAGGGCCUAUUUAAUUCCUCAUUUGGGCCAAAAAAUUUUAUGUUUUGGUUCACCAUUUUGCAGAAUGAAAUUAAAUAUCAUCUAAAUUUUUUAGAGUUGCCAUUUUGCACUAUAGAUUUUGGUGUCAAGAGCCAAAAAAAGCAUCUUCAUGUAUUUUGGACCCUAAAAAUUUUAGCAUUUUGGAUGAAACUAAACACACCUAUAAAAUUUGGCAUUUUACAUUUUAUCAUUCUAAAGUAUUUGGUAUUUUGCAUUCCAUUGAAAACUAAACACGCCCUAUGUAUUAUCUAAUAUACGAUUUUUUUUUCAAGUUAGCCAUUUUCAAUAUAAGAUAUUUUUCAUAAACUCGUAUACUAGUAACUUUUUUGUACUGUAUUGUAUUGUUGAUGGUAGUUGUAUACUUGUGUUAGAGCCCAUUCACUGGUGCGAAAAGCUAUGAGAGAAAAAUAUCGCUGCCUGACAGGCUAAUAUUUGUUUGAGAUAUAAUCGGCCCCUUGCACUGUUGCAUGAUUGGGUAUUAGCACCGGUCGGGAAGGGUUCUGUUGCCUCGGUUCCCGAGCCGGUGCUGCCCUUCCGGGACUAAAGCCCCACCCUUUAGUCCCGGUUCGGGAAACCGGGGCUAAAGCCCCCCCUUUAACACCAGUUGGUAAUACACCAACCGGUGUUAAAGAGGGCAGGACUCUUUAACACCGGUUGGUAUUACCAACACCAACCAGUGUUAAAGGGGUUCUUUUUUUCUUUUUUUUCGGUUCAUUUCUUCGGUUCUGUUUAUUGUUUUUAUAUAAUAAUAAUAGGUUUGUCAAUACAUAUUUUAUGCUGAUAUAAUAUAUAUAUAUAUAUAUAUAUAUAUAUAUAUUACACGCAUAUUAAGCAUAUAUAAAUGGAAAUUAUAGGCUUAGCUUUAUAAUUAAGCUUUGCCUAUAAUAAAAUAAAUAGUCCACAUCAAUAAUUAAAUAGAUGGAUAUGUAAAAAGCUUUAUAUAUAGUUUUAUAAGUACAAAAUUCGUAACACAUAUAUACAUAGAGUUUUUUCUCCCAAUGUCUAAAACCGAUACAAAUGAUCAUCGUUGUUUAGAAUAAGAGUUCCGUUGCCGUUGAAGUGAAACUCGCCGUUUGGAUUGAUCACUUUCUCACGGAGAAAUCCUGGUAUCGUCUCUUGAGUAGCUUUGAUGCGGUCUUUUUGCAUGACCUUUUCCCUCAACCAUUCCGUCUUUAAUUUGAAAUAAAAUAAAAAAGGUAUUAGUUAUCUAAGUUAUUUAAUAUAAUUAUGGAGAUAAUGAAAAGAGAUAUGCAACGUACUCUGAGCAUCUCUGUGGGUGUUUGAUUGACUUUUGCCAUUAUGAAUUUGCACAUGUAAUAUGCACAUAGGUUGUUUCCCCCUUCUUGUGUUAAACACCACUGUACGAUAUAUAUAAAAAAUAUUCACGACCACGACAAUAAGAAGGCUAAAAGUUAGCGAAAGUUUGCUAGCUAGUACAACUUACUUGUAGAUGAAUUAUAUUAAGAGGCGCUUUACAACCAAUGAGAUGUUCACGGUCAAUAAAUCUUUCCCAAACCCUACACACAGCCAUUGUGGAUCAUGAACUAAUAAUUACAGAGUCAUAUCAUGAUAUUCUUCUAGCUGAGAUCGAUAUUACGUACCUUUGAAUAAUGAUUACCAUUUACUGAUAAUUAAUUUUCUUGUGGUUUUCUCAUUGAGUCAAAGAUUAUCAACCGGUUCUUGGGAAUUUCAAUGACCAUGAGUAUCCAGUGAAAGCUGUUUAUAUAUAUAUAUAUAUAUAUAUAUAUAUAUAUAUAUAUAUAUAUAUAGUCAGGCCUAUAACUAUAUAAAACUCGUCUCGAGUAAUAAUAAGUAAAAUAAAAUGUGCAUGCACUUAAUAACUAUAUAACUCACUCGAAGUUGUAGGGGAAGAGUAUGUUUGUUUUUCUUUUUGGUUCACAAAGAACCUCAUAAGAUUGGUGCAGACUUCUGUCUCAUGAGAUGUUGUCCACACUGCGUGCGGAGCCUUGAAAACAACAUAAGGGUCAACGAACCCAAUACUAUUGCCAUUUUUGCUUCUGAGCUCUCUCAUUUGGUGCCUGCAUAUAUACAUACAAAUUCUAAGUGUGUAAGGAUUAUAUACAUAUAAUUAAAGAAGGUAGAAGUUUAAUAAAAAAAAUACUUACAGACAAAAGCAGCUGACAAGAGAUUUGUCGAAAGCAGCUGACAAGAGAUUUGUCGAGAGCGUCGUGGUGACAUAAUUGGUGCAAUUCUUCAAACUGGACGUAUAUGAGGUCAUCUCCACGAAAGUAGUGAUGUUGUCUAAUACGAACAGAAAUCCAAUUAUCUCCCCUUUUAGACGCCUCCAUACACCACUUGUUUAUUGCAAAUAUUUGUGUGCCGAGCUCAUGUAAAUGCUGAGGGUUGAAUAGACUCCUGUCCGGUUCAUAUCUUGUCCUCCAUUGAUCAACUACCUCAGCUUUUUCAAAAGUUUGGCAUCCAACAAUGGUGGCAAUGUCUUCAAUAUUUAGACCGCUCUGUCCAAAGUAAUGCUCAAGCGAAUCUAGCUCAUACAAGAUUAAGGAUUUCUUUAGCAUCAAGUCUUCAUUUGAGCCGUAUUGAUUUGGCACAAUCAAAGGGGCACCGAUUUUGAUACUUCUCCGAGCUGUGGGACCCUCUUUCCUACACUCUUUCUAGGCUGUGAAGACUUGACCAAAGACUGCUCAUAGUUUGAAAGUGUUGGCUUUUUCUGAGCUUCCCGCUUCUUCUUUUGCUGGUCCGCCACCUUCUUCCUCAGUUCCUCUGGCUUUACAUAAAAGUACAGCUUUUCUAGAUUUAGCCACUCUUUUCUUUCCUGCUUCAAUUUAUCGAAAAAUUAUUUGACCUCAGCUUUGGAUGUAGCAAUUACCUCCUCUUCACUCUUUUCAUAAGAUAAUUUCUCUGGUGUCUUAGCUUUCUUUGCUGAGGCAGCCUUCUUUGGAGGUGGGAUCGAUGACUUCGGUCGUUCUGGAGCGGACCGCUUCUGACUACCUCGCUUUGGAGGCGAUGGGACCGACCGUGUACUCUUUGGAGAGGGCGGUGGAGGUGGUGGGGCCGAUCUUUUUGGUGUUGGAGAACGUGGUGGAGGAGUUGGAGACCUCGGUGGAGGAGGUGGAGACCAUGGUGGAGGCGGUGGCGGGGUCGGUGUGGCCGCCGCAGGUGUUGGAGGAGAUCCAACAUUGUCACCGCCCACAGCACUAUGAUGCGCUGGGGAAAGAACUGGACUUAGGUUGGAGGAGUCCCUGCAGAGAAAACAAUAACAAGUUCUGUGAACAAACUUUAUUUAAAUGCAAUACAUAAUAAAUAAUAUAAGAAGUAAACAAUAGUGACAUUCCUAGAAUAAUUAUGAAGCGCUUGCGCCAACAAAUAAACGUCUUCUCAGCUUCACCUAAGUUCUUCUCUCCGUAUCCCCCUUCUAUUUCUAGAGGCACACUGCCACAACCUUUCUCAACCCUAUCAACCGAGACGCUAGCAUAUCCAGUUGGCACUGGUCGAUUAUGGAUUCUUGGAGUUCUCGUUUGGUCGAUAGGGUUGACAACACCGGUAGCCACCUUUUUUGUUGCAUUUCCAUCUGGUACAUGUAGCUCAUAAGUAGUAAAAGCCUCUGUAACAUCAUCCACGUGGAAGUGUAGCUUCGUGUCAUCCUGAAUGGUUGGUACUUCCGUGGAUGCGCAACUGCUUUUCAACUGGCCUGGGGGCUAACGUUGACCUCAGGCUGUGAUGUACCUUGUCCUUUCAUUAUUUGACUAAGUGCUGCUUGCACUUGCCUUUCAAUCUCCGCCUGCAUCCAUUCUUCAUGAGAUUUCUCGUGCUCUUGUGACUGCAGAACAAAAGCUUCCAGCCGGCGGAUCCGCUCUGCCUCCUCAUCCUUCUUUCUCUGGCGGCUUCUGUAGGUUUCUUGAUCAGCUUGGAAUGAUUGCAGCCAUGGAACUACCCCAUAGCCUCUCGUACGCCCACCGUGCUCAGGAUUUUCAAGCGCAUACGUGAGUUCAUCCUUCUUCCUGUUAGGCCUGAACUCACCAGACUGAACCACCUCUCCUGCAUGGACUAGUCUCUCUGCUACUCUAGAGAUUUCUUAGCCCCAAACUAGCACCCCGGUGUCUAGGUCCACGCUUUCCCCAUGACCGUAGAACCAAUGCUUGGAGCGCUCGCUCCAAUUCUUUGCUAUUGUCUCGGGUGUGACCCCCCUAAUAAGCAUCUCCUGUUCCAUUCUUUCCCACUUGGGAACAACACUCUUAUAACCACCUGAUCCCAUAUGAUGGUGGUAUGUCUUUUUACUUGCAUUUUCUUUGUUCUUAAUGGCUCGUUCCUCGCCCUCUUCUGAUAUUUUGUACUGCACGAAGUCAUCCCAAAAGGCCCUCAGCUUUACAUAUUGCUUGAGGUUGAAAUUUGGAGUCUCGUUUUUCUUGACAAAUUUAUUGUACAAAGACUUCUUCCAAUUCUGGAAUAGUACCGCCAUCUUCUUCAUAGUCUAGUCAUAAAUUCACACCUUCAACUCUUCAUCGUUAGUGUCGAAGGUGAAAACCGCCGUGCCGACUUUCCAAACUACUUACCACGAUCAGAGACAAAACUGAUUUCAGGAGCACCUCGCUUCUCUCUCCAUUCACGAGCACUGAUCGGUAUUUGGUCUCUCACAAGGUAUCCACAGUGACCAACAUAUUUAUUUGCAUGUUCACCAAGUGGUCUGCCUAUAGCUAUCUCAAACUCAGAGGUUACGUAGCGGCCCUCCAACGGCUUAUUUGGCCCUCGUGGAGGUAAGCUUCUCCCCGUAGAGGUCGAUCCAGAAGGCUACACGUAGAUAUAAAAACAAAAAUACUAAAUUAAUAACCAAGUAAGUCUAAAACCUAAUGUAAAGAUGCAUUAUAUAUGUUUACAUUUACAUACCUCGCCGGUAUUUCCUUCUUGUUGCACGACAAGUUGUUGCUCAGGCGCAUUACCCUCUUGUUGCUCAGGGGCAUUUCCCUCUUGUUGCUCAGUCGGAUUGUCUUGCACAAUCUCGUUGUAAUCAAUAAAGUACUGACCACUGUCGUCGAUCAUAUUUUGAAUGUCAUCUUCUAUAUAAUUAGGAUCAUCAUAAGGACGGUCGGCCAUUUCUAUGUCUGCAACCACAUAUACAUAUAUAUUCUAUAUAAGAUAAGAAAUACACUAGAAUAAUAUAAGUUCUAGAGUGCUCCAAACUAAAAAAUAAUACUAACAAUAACAUAUGAAAGUGCUAGAGUGCUCCAAACUAAAAAAUAAUACUAGAAUCCUUUAAGCCAAGUAAUACACUAGAAUAAUAUACUAAAAAUAAUACUAAAAAAUAAUACUAGAAUAAUAUACUAGCAAAAUAUAUUUCAUAACAAUUCAAAACACUACAAUUCAUAAUAUACUAGAAUAGUAUACUAAAAAGUCUUUUAAGCCAAGUAAUACACUAGAAUAAUAUACUAAAAAAUAAUACUUUAAAAUAAUACUAGAAUAAUAGUACAAACAAUAAUAUAUACAAAACUCUAGAAUUAAUAAUAUACUAGAAUAAUAUACUAAAAAGUAAUACUAGAAUAAUAUGCUAGCACAAUAUAUUUCAUAACCAUUCAAAACACUACAAUUCAUAAUAUACUAGAAUAAUAUACUAAAAAGUCUUUUAAGCCAAGUAAUACACUAAAAUAAUAUACUAAAAAAUAAUACUAAAAAAUAAUACUAGAAUAAUAGUACAAACAAUAAUAUAUACAAAACACUAGAAUUAAUAAUAUACUAGAAUAAUAUACUAAAAAGUAAUACUAGAAUAAUAUACUAGCACAAUACAUUUUAUAACAAUUCAAAACACUACAAUUAAUAAUAUACUAAAAUAAUAUACUAAAAAAGUAUUUUAAGCCAAGUAAUACACUAGAAUAAUAUACUAAAAAAAUAAUACUAAAAUAUAAUACUAGAAUAAUAGCACAAACAAUAAUACUAGAAUAAUAUACUAAACUAAAAUAUAUAUUACAGACUACAUGUAUACUAGAAUAAUAUACUAAAAAGUAAUACUAGAAUAAUAUACUAAAAACUAAUACUAGAAUAAUAUACAAGCAUGCAUUAUUUUUUAGUGUAUAAAUAUAUACUUAAAUAUAUAUACAAAUCAAAACACUACAAUUUAUAAUAUACAUAUAUUUUUUAGUGUAUAUAUAUAUAUAUAAUUCAGUGUGGUCUAGUGUGUGUAUAUAUAUAAUACAGUGUGGUUUAGUGUAUAUGUAUAUAUAUAUAUAUUUUUAGUAUACUUAAUUAAUAUGUUAUAAUUCAUAACAAUUCAGUGUGGUAGUGUAGAGGGAUGGCCGGAGUACGUGAUCUAGCGCGCGUAAAGAUGGCCGGAGUUCUCGGUGUGUCGUCCACGUACGGCGCAGCGACGCUGGUGGAGAUCGAUGGCCGCAGCGGCGAGCUGGAGACGGCGGCGCGACGCUAGAGACGAGGUCACGCGGCGCUGCAGUAGACGAACGGCCGGCGGCGCAGGAGACUAGGGCUGCUCGACGAAGACGAAGGAACUGUUUAGAUCCAGCGCGUAUAUGCGCUUAUAUAGGGGCAGACCCUUUAGCACCGGUCCGUAGCUGGAACCGGUGCUAAAGGGUCUUUAACACCGGCUGGUAACACGAGCCGGUGUUAAAGGGUGACCCUUUAGCAUCGGCUCGUGUUACCAGCCGGUGCUAAAGAGACCCUUUAGCAUCGGUUUUAGCCACGGGCCGGUGCUAAAGGGUCCUUAGACGGGCUCGGAUGGGGUUCUGAAAUUUUCAUUUUGAAGACCCGUUAGCACCGGUUCCAACCAUGAGCCAGUGCUAAAGGGUAUGUUUUUUAGUUUAGGGUUUUUAAAGUGUUUAUAUAUACACUUUACAUUAUAAAUUGUAUAGUAAAUUAAAUAUUUUGUAUAAUAUUUUUUAAAAAGUGACAUGUAUUGUAUUUUUUUAAUGUACACAUAAAAAUUUUUAACCUUAAAUAUCUUACUAUAUUUUUUAAAUUUGCAAUAAUUUUGUAAGUAAUGUUUAGUAUUUUGUUAAUGAAAAAAUAUAUUAUUCCAAUAAAUUUACAAAAACUAUAUCCAAUCAACUGGAAAUCUAUUUUCACAUCAUAUUGACGUUAAACUUUUUAUUUUUGUCAUUUAUUACUCAGAAUGCUAGUACGGUACAAUUUUCAUCAAAUAAAAAAUCUAUUUAUCAUAUAAAAAUGUAGAUCUUGAUGAAUACACCCUUUGACCAAACCCUAGAUGGUCCCAACUAGAAAAGUCAUGAAUACAAAGUUUGUUACACUCAUCAAGUUCUACAUUUGGUCUAAUGGUCAACUUUUCAUUUGGAAAAGUUUGAAAUCACUCAAUUUUGAAUUUUGAAAGAAUUCAUAGGCACGCAUCGGUUUCGGAACCCUAGAUGGUCUCGAAUGGAAAAGUCAUGAAUACCAAUAUUGUUCCACUCAUCAAAAUCUACAUUUAAUAUAUAGACCAUUUUUGCAUUUGACAAAGUGUUGGGAAGGUGUAGUUGAAAAUCCAUAACUGACAUAUGUAGUUUCAUAUAGUUUGUGUGAGAUUAAAGAUUUGGUGGGUAUUGUUAACUUAAACUUUCUCAAAUGGAAAAAUUUUGUAUAUAAAAAGUUUAUAUCUUGAUGAUAUCUAAUAACUUGGUAUUCAAAAUUUUUUCAUUUUAAGUAAUUUAGUUUGUCAUUUGACCAAAACCCGUGUUGGAUUUUAAAGAAAUGUGCUUAGGAUUGGCUCAAAUUUAUCCAAAUGGAAAAAUGGACAAUAUAUCAAAUGUAGAUCUUGAUGAUCUCUAACAACUUUGUAUUCAUUUUUUUAUUUGAAGUCAUCAAAUGGGUCAUUUAACCAAGUUUGACCAAAGUCAAAGCAUUGGUUUUUACAAACACACCCUUUGACCGAACCCUAGAUGGUCCCAAAUGGAAAAGUCAUGAAUACAAAGUUUGUUACACUCAUCAAAAUUCACAAUUCUCAAAUAUAGUUUCAUACAAUUCUUAGUAUUCGUACAUUUUACAACACAUACUAUUAAACAUAACUUUAUAUUAAGCCGACACAAUAGUGAACUUCUUCUUGAUGUAUGACCCUUGGUUAUGAUCCUGCCGUAACCAUGGAGUAUCCUCAUUGUUUAACAGAAUGCUUGGGUCUUUGUUGACUAUGAAGGGCGGAAUUCGAUCAUCCCUUUCGUAAUCGCCUGACAUGUCUGACUUGUCCUCAAUUCCGACAAUGUUUCUUUUCCCAAAAAGGACAAUGUGGCGCUUUGGCUCAUUGACGAUUGAGUGGUCAUCAUUUUUUCCUCUCUUUGGUUUCGUAGACAUGUCUUUCACAUAGAACACCUGACUCACGUCUGCAGCAAGGACGAAUGGUUCGUCUUUGAACCCACUAUUGUUAAGGUCCACGGUUGUCAUCUCAUACUCCUUAUUGACUAUUACCCCACCUCCGGUCAUCUUCACCCAUUGGCACCGGAACAAAGAAACUUUAAAAUUAGCUGCAUAGUCUAGUUCCCAUAUGUCUUCUAUGCGUCCAUAAUAUGUUUGUCUGUUCCCAUUUGGAUCCAUGGCAUCCACACGUACACCACUAUUUUGGUUGGUGAUCCUUUUAUCUUGGCCAACUAUGUAAAAUGUGUUACCAUUUAUCUCAUACCCUUUGUACGUGAGGACAUGCCAUGAUGGUUUCCUGGCCAACAAAUAAAGCUGCUCAUUAAUGUUUUCAUCACCCUGACAUUUUUUGUGCAACCAAUCGCCAAAAGUUUCCUUGUGCUGAUGCAUUAUCCAAGCUUCAUUCUUCCUAGGCCAUUGGGACCGUAGGAAAUCUUUGUGUACCUCAACAUAUGGUUCCACCAAUGAGGAGUUCUGGAGAACUGUGUAGUGUGCUUUAUUGAAGUAAUCGUCACCCGUACCAAUAUAUGUUUUCUUCCCAAAUGUUCCUUUUCCGCUGAGUCUGCCCUCGUGUCGAGAUUCAGGAAUGCCAAUUGGGUCAAGGUCUAGAAUAAAGUCAACAUAGAACUCUAUGACCUCCUCUAUUCUGUAGCCCUUGGCAAUGCUUCCUUUUGGGCGGGAACGACUAUGGACAUAUUUCUUUUGGACACCCAUGAAUAUCUCAAAGGGGAACAUGUUGUGUAGGAACAUAGGAUCGAGAAUACGAAUCUCUUUGAUCAGAUGAACUAGGAGGUGUGUCAUGAUAUCAAAGAAGGAUGGAGGGAACACCAACUCAAAGCUGACGAGACAUUGAACGACAUCAUUCUAUAGAGUAGCUAGUUGCUCUAGAUUGAUUGCCUUCUGAGAAACUGCAUUGAGGAAUGCACAUAGCUUUACGGUGGCUAGACGUACGUGUGGAGGUAAAAUUCCUCUUAAAACCACCGGCAACAAUUGCGUCAUUAGAACAUGACAGUCAUGGGACUUUAAGUUCAGGAAUUUCGUCUCUGGCACAUUAAUUAUUACCUUGAUAUUGGAGGAGAAUCCAGAUGGGACCUUGAUGUUGCUAAGACAUUCAAACAUGCUUUCCUUCUCUUCUUUGCUCGGAGUGUAGCUAGCAGGGCUUAAGUAAUGACGUCCAUCAUCUGUCUUUUCUGGAUGCAGGUUGUCUCGUUCUUUCAUGCGCUGCAAGUCUUGUCGUGCUUCAAGUGAAUCCUUAGACUUCUCGUAGACACCCAUGAAUCCGAGCAAGUUCACACAAAGAUUCUUUGUCAGAUGCAUCAUGUCGAUCGCGUUGCGGACCUCUAGGACAUUCCAGUAAAGUAGCUCCCAAAAUAUGGAUUUCUUCUUCCACAUGGGUACGUGUCCCUUAGCGUCCUUGGGAAUAGGUUCGCUGCCUCAUCCCUUUCCAAAUACCACUUUUAUAUCCUUGACCAUUUCGAGUACAUCAUUCCCAGUUCGAUUGAGAGGCUUGGUCUGGUGGUCUGCCUUGCCUUUGAAAUGCUUGCCUUUCUUUCGUACUGGGUGGUUCACAGGAAGAAACCGACGGUGGCCAAGGUACACGACCUUUCGACAUUUUUUCAAAAAUACACAGUCAAUGUCUUCAUAACAAUGUGUGCAUGCAUUAUAUCCCUUGUUUGAUUGGCCUGAAAGAUUACUCAGAGCUGGCCAAUCAUUGAUUGUUACAAACACCAAUGCUCACAGGUCAAAGUGCUCUUGUUUGUACUCAUCCCACACGCGAACUCCUGGUUUGCUCCAUAAAAGUUGAAGUUCCUCAACUAAUGGCCUUAGGUAGACAUCGAUGUCGUUGCCAGGAUGCUUCGGUCCUUGGAUAAGCACCGGCAUCAUAAUAAACUUCCGCUUCAUGCAUAGCCAUGGAGGAUGGUUGUAGAUACAUAGAGUAACUGGCCAAGUGCUGUGACUACUGCUCUGCUCACCGAAAGGAUUCAUACCAUCUGUACUUAAGGCAAACCACAAGUUUCUAGCAUUAUCUGCAAAAUCUGGGAAUUCUCUGUCUAUCGCUCUCCACUAGGAUCCAUCGGCAGGGUGUCUCAGCAUAUUGUCUAUCUUACGGUCUUCUUUAUGCCACCGCAACAACUUUGCAUUGUCCUUAUUUCUGAACAGACGUUUUAAUCGUGGUAUUAUAGGAGCAUACCACAUACCUUGGCAGGAAUUUUCUUCCUAUGACAUUCUUCACCCUCAACAUCGCCAGAAUCAUCUCGCCUGAUCUUAUACCGUGAUGCCUUACAUACUGGACAUGCAUCCAAAUUCUCGUAUUCCUCCCCACGGUAGAGGAUGCAGUCAUUAGGACAUGCGUGUAUCUUCUGGAUUUCUAAUCCCAAAGGGCAGACAACCUGUUUUGCUUCAUACGUAGUGGUGGGCAAUUCGUUGCCUUUUGGAAGCAUCUUUUUUAUGAUCUUCAAUAACUGCCCAAAUGCCUUGUCAGAUGUACCAUUCUUUGCCUUCCAUUGCAGCAAUUCCAGUAUGGUACCUAGCUUUUUUUCCCCUCUUCAGCGGUGGGAUAUAGCGAUUUCCUGUGGUCCUCUAGCAUGCGCUCGAACUUGGCUUUCUCUUUCUCACUUUCACAUUCUCUUUGUGCAUCACGGAUGGCAUCACCAAAAGCAUCAUCGCCCCGAUCAUCUUCUGUGCUACCUCUUAUUCAUUAUCUCCCCCCAUUGCAACAUCAUUGAAGCCACCGUACUGAGCAAUAAUGUUGGCGUGGUCCAAUUCUUCUUCUUCACCUUCAUCCAUUAUAAUCCUGCUUUCUCCAUGCUUGGUCCAACAAAUAUAGUUUGGUACGAAACCAGACUUUAAUAAGUGCGAAUGAAGAGUUCUUCAAUAUUCUGUCAAAUUCUUGCACACGGCACAUGGAUAGCACAUGAAACCGUCCCUUUUAUUUUUCUUGGCCACACUAAAAGGUCGAGAUGGUGGACUAGAGGGGGGUGAAUAGUCCUUUCUAAAAACUAUCGUACCGGCUAACCAAAACAAAUGCGGAAUUAAAUCUAUCGGCCUAGCCAAGACUACACCCCUCUAUCUAAGUUCUCUAGCACCUUGUAAAAGAUCCUAAACAAGAAAACAAGGUGCUACCUUAGCAAGAGCUCACCUAACCAAUUCUAGAAGCAAGGUCACACAAACCUAUGCAACUAGUACUUUGCAAACCGAGGGAGCUCCUACACAAACAAGUGAGGCAAAGCGCACAAAGCCUAAGCUCACUAGCAAGCUCAAUAACAAGGCAACUAAUGCCAAAUUAGAGAGCGCAACUUACUUAGCUACACAAACUAAGCAAUGUGACUAACAAGGUUACACAAACCAAAUUAGUCACGCAAGCGAACUACUUCUAGCUACACAAGCAAGAAGGUAACUAGCAAGCUACACAAGCUAACUAAUUACAAGAGCAACUACACAAGCACAAAUAUAUGAAUGUAAAUACAAGCUCGUAUAUAGCGAAUGCAAACCACCGAGAAGAGUAGACAAUGUUGACACGGUGAUUUUUACCGAGGUUCACUUGGUUGCCACCAAGCUACGUCCUCGUUGUGGCGAUACACCCACUUGAUGGAUCACGAGCUAAUUGGCAUUCAAAGCCAAACCCUCAGCGGGUGCCGCACAUCCACUCUCAAGAUGGGGAUCCUCCAAGCCACAAGAAAUCCACUAGAGUUGCUCUUCGCAAUCUCUGUGGGGUGAGCACCGUACCCCUCACAAUCUCUUCUCCGAAGCACCGCACAAUCUCCUUGCGUGCUUCGACGGAGUCACAAGCCACCAAGCCAUCUAGGAGGUGGCAACCUCCAAGAGUAACAAGCACCACCGGCUUGCAACACGAACACCUAGUGCCACUCGAUGCAAUCUCUCAAUGCAACGCACUAGAAUCGCUCACUCACACAAUCGGAUGAUCACUAUCAAGCAUAUGUGAGUUAGAGGCUUCACUAGCACUCCCUAACCAUGGACACUAAAUCCCAAGGGUGCUCAGCACAAGCCAAGGCCGGCCACCACUUCUAUUUAUAGCCCCAAGGGCUAAACUAGCCGUUGCCCCUUCACUGGGCAAAACACGUGGGCACCGGACGCUCACAGGGAGCCACCGGACGCUCAACCCCCAGCGUCCGGUGCUCAGGCGUCAGCCAUGUGUCACUAGCCAUUUGAACUCGACCGUUGCCGCCAACGGCUACUGCGCACGUGCGCCUACACAGUACCAUGUUGGGUAUUUUAAACGCAAACAGAAAAAUCCGCAAGCGCACGGAUACCGAUGUAGCUUUCACCCGGGAGUAUUCCAGAGUAUCGAUUUUCCACAGAGAACGUGAGUGUACUAAUUAAGAUCCAAGAUCGCCCAAGGAUAACUAUAUAAUUAUUUUUGGUGGGAAGAGAGGAAGUUUCCUGAGUGUUCUCUAGUUGAUCUAAGAAUCAAGAAUUACUUCAAGAUUAUCUAUAUCGGGACAUCAGAGCACUAACCACAGAAAGAGAUGAGAAGGGGGCUAGGAAGGUCUGACUACGGUCCUACAAACACCGAUCCGAACGUGGUGGAAUACGUCGACCGUUAGGGCUGUCACUACCCUAAGGCUACCACAACAAUCCGCAGGAUUGGGUGCAAUUCCAGGUAAUUGCAAGACUAAACACCACGUCUAAUCUAUUAAUUACUACUCUAGCGUUAUAAAGACUAGAGCACUUGAUGCAAGCGGGAAUCCAAUAAAUAACUUGAAUGUAAAUAAAAGUAAUUAAAGAACUCAGGAUUAUGAAUUGAAGAACCUGGAGAACGAUGAAGAAUGAACCAGUUGCUGCAAAAAUUUAAUGUUGAGGAAGAUCCGACAGAUCCGGGUCCUCCUCCGCUCUCCUCUUCUCUCUCCCUAUUUUCUAGACUACAACUAGAACUAACUAGAACUAGAACUAGAGGAACUAGAACUAGAACUAGAUGAACUAGAACUAGAACUAGAUGAACUAGAGGUAGAACUAGAAGAACUAGAGGGAUCCUCUCUACUUGGAUGAAGAAUUGAAACCCUAACUUUGAUUCUGUAGAAGAGGUAUGCUCUCCAGGGGCCAGGGGGCCUUGCUUAUAUAGUCUUUUCAGAUGAAUCUGGGCCGUCGGAUCGAACCGACAUUAAUCGCACAGUUUUCCUUGGUCCCUUAGGUCGGUGGAGCACGAUCCGCGAAGUUGAAGCUGAUUGGUUACUGUAGCUGGGCGGGCACCCAAGGGACUUGGGCGGGCGCCCUGCCCCCGGGCCCGAUCGGCCUCCCGUUCGUUCCCGUGGCUUCUGGAGUCUUCUAGAUGGUAGAAAAUUGCGCGGCACGUUAAUAUCUCUAUGUAAACCCGACGUGUGGGCUUUUCUUUCAUAUUUCCUGAUAACCUCCUGCAGAAAUAGACAAACACCAAAACUCGUGGAAUUCUGUCAGAUAAAACCCUAAGUCUAGGUGUUGGCUGCAUAUAAGUCUUUUUCCAUGAUUAGUUGAUGGUUAAAUGUGAGCAUUAAGGACCGUCAACAAGCUCCCCCAAGCUUAACCUUUGCUCGUCCCUGAGCAAAGAUGAACUCAAGAAUUUCUGCAGUGGUUUCAAUACAUGCGUUCAAACAAGAUCUCAUCUCUGGGUUAGGGUAAAUUGUUAAGAUUUAAAUUUACUCAUUUUUCCUUCCACCAUGGGGCUUGCAACCGUCACUUGUGUCUUGAGUAGUUAAAAGAUAGAACAGUCUAGUCAAGCGCUAUGUCUCUUGUUCUUCGAUUAACUAUAGCUCUGGAGUUUUUGCAGAUUUUCAAAUAAAACUCAGAGAUUCCUUGUAUGACUCUCUCUAGUCUCUCUUUUGUGGUAUUUCUGGAUCCUUACCAAGGCAGUAAUGGUGUAUGCCUUCUCUCAAAGUAUGUGGUAUUUUUGGUAUGAGGCAUAGUGACAUUGCUUUCUCUCUCACCCUACUCUAAUAAGGCUUUUGAUAUCUGGAGCUCAUUGGUGGGAGAUAGCUAAUACAUACUUACAAGACAUUUAUUGCAUAGUCAAACUAUGGAUCCAGAAGAACAAGUCAAUAAGUCAAAUCAAGAUGUGCAUGUGUGGCGAAUGAAUGGUGUAUGGUGAUGAUUGAUAACAAUAGUGAAAGUCUAAUUCUACUUAUGCUCUUUUGAGGGGAUACAUACUUUUCUUGCUCUUUUGAAACUUUUUGAGGGGAAUAAGAUGCUCUAUAUUUUCUUUUCUUUUUUUUCUUUUCUCUCAGGUGGGUAUCUUGUACCCCUAAUUCUACUGUCGCACACUUGUCCAUUUUUACCUCUCGUCUCACUUUUUCUUUUCUUUCGAGGUUCCGGGCACUUGCCCCUUUUUAUUUCCUCGUAUCUUUUUUUUCUCUUUUUUUAGAGCACUCAUCUCCUUAAAUAAUAUAGCAAGUGGUAGUAACCAAGAUAACUCGAGCAUUUAUUGCAUAGGGAAUAACAAGGAUAGGAAAAUAUUUUUGGCUAUUCUCUCCCGGAUUAGGAGUAGAAUACUUUUGGGUGAAUCUGGAGAUGGAAGUGAGUGGAUAUAUGUGGAUGCGUACUUCCGGAGUAGAAGCAACAUGUGUGAGUGAACGUGCAAGUGAAUCUUGAUUCUAACCGCAUGACAAGCUCCUAAGGGUCUACACAGCUUGACCACACUCAAUGCUCAUAAGUAGUAAAAAGUAAAUGUGUGGCUCAAAGUCUAGCAAACAUGUAUAUAUGGCUGUGGUAGGAAUUUAAACUCUCAUCAUACAGGAACUCAUCAUGUGAUAUUUUGAAGAUUUUCAAAGAUAAAAUUCUCUAGAAUUCUAGCAUCUCUAGGAACAGAUAAACAGCAGCUCAACCUUCCCAUAUCAUAUCCAUUAACAACUUAGACUUUAGAUCAAGUACUCUUCCCACAAGUUCAGGUUUAGAGCAAGUCUUAAUUAAUAACAGUCAUGCCUAAACUUGAAAGAGAUUUCAAUUUUAAGAACUAGUCAUGGCAGAGCAACUAUUCAUCAUUUCCACGUGACAGCUUAUCAUGAGGGUUCAUAGCAAACUUUAUUUAUUUAUUUAUUUAGCAAACUAAACAAAGAUAUAUAUAAGCACAAAAUCUUUAUUUGGGUUUUUAUGAUUAUGCAUCUUUUUAUUAUUUGAGUAAAAUAUAAACAUGAGUAGAGCACUUAACUGGAUAAAUGGUGGUGCUCUCCCCCAAGCUGGAUUUUGCCGUAAUUCCUUCUGAUGUAGCUAGCAGGUGGCGGAGGUGUAUUUGAAUGUUGGUAGCCUCCUGACAGCGAUUCGGAUGUCCUCUGUCUACUAGUCUUCUUUGAUCCUUGAAUUCUGUGGAGCUCAAAUAGACAACAAAGCUUUGUGGAACUAGUUAAGUGUUAACAUAAAUAUCUAGCCUUUAUCAUGUUGAGCCUCCUUAAUAAAUGUUACACUCUUUAGUAGGAUCACAAUCUUAUUUUUACAAUUUUAUUUUUAUAGGACAGGAAUAUAUUUAUUUCAUUUUUAUGCCACCACAGUGAAUGUACUUAUGGGUUUUAUGCCAUGAGCAUAAUCACAUGGGGCUUACUAUUUUUAACAUUUUUAUUUUCUUUUCAAGAUGAUAUGAACCUGAUUAACUAAGCAAACUAUUUUAAAAUAAUUGAAAGGAAAAAGAUAACUACCAAGUUUACCUCUUGGCAAGGCGUUCGGUGUUUUUAAGUCCUCCGAACGGGUCUCUCCGUUUUCUCUGUCGUCCUAGGAUUCGCUGGAUGGUGUAGUCGGUGGUUCCGGCGGCGCCUCCUCUUCGUGUAUAACUAUCUUUUCUCUCCACACCUGACUCGGUGCUACGGUCUCCUCAGGACAGUUCUGUUUAAGUUGUAUGUCUUCAGAUCUUACCACUUCUCCUUCGUAGUCUGCCCAUCCAUCCUUGAUGAUUUGCCUCCUCUGGUUGCGGUUGCGUCGUCUUCUUUGUCUUGACCUGCUUAGAGUCUUCAUAUAUAUAUAGUUAGGGUCAGUAAAAUAGCGGCGUACCUUCUCAGAGGGGAAGUGCAUGUGGACUUCUCCGGUUCCAAUGUAGAUGAUUGCUUUAACGGUGCUGAGGAACAGUCUUCCAAGGGUGAUGGGUGGAUUGUACUUGUCUUCUUCCAUGUCAAUAACCUUAAAAUCAUCUGGAGCUAAAUGUAUGUCGGUUUUAGUGGCAUGGUUCCGAAUAGGAGCUGAUAGGUGACUGGGUCGUCCUUUUUGGUCAGGAACGGUGACUUAAGUCAACGAUCUUGACCUCCUUAAACUGCAGUGACCAUCUUGGUUGACUCGGUCCACAUUUGCUUGUUCCUGUUCCUCCUGUUGGUCAUCUUCCUUGGUUCAUGUCGGGAUUGCUCUGAGAUUUGUAUAGUCUUGUUCUUGAAGGAAAACGUCUCCUUCCUCUCCUUGAUGUAGAAACUGAUCUUGACAGCACUAGCAUAGAUGACAGCUCCCGAGGUGUUCAGGAAUGGCCUCCCUAGGAUGAUGGGUGCCCUCUCGUCAGUAUCAGUCUCUAUCACCACGAAGUCUGCUGGAGCGUAUAAGGUACCAACUCGGACAUAGAGGUUAUUCAAUAUUCCCUUUGGGAAACUUAGUGUCUGAUCUGCAAGCUGCAAACACAUGGUUGUUUCUAGGAAAGGAUGUGUAAAGAAUUUUUCAUAGAGUACCCUGGGCAUAAUGUUGACGCUGGAGCCAAGGUCGCAGAGUGCUUCUAGGAAGUCCACCAUGCCGAUGGAGAUCGGGAUGACGAGGCGUCCUGGAUUGUCUCUCUUGACCGGCAGAAGGUCAGUAAUUACUUCCACAGCAGGGUUACUCCAGUAGUUACGUCCUCAAGCAUCUCAGGGCAGUGAUUGCCUGAGUGUCCAGUAUCCCCAGUGUGUUUGAGCUCGUAGAUCUAGGUUCUUCACUUGGUGGAGUGUGGGAGUUGUAAAAGUCCUUCAUAUUUUGCUCGAAGUGUACCUGCUCGUAGAGACAAGGGAGAGAUCAAGUGCAUGGGCCCUGUUGGUGGAAAACACCAACAGAACCAAAAGUGUAUUUGUGCUUCUCUACCCUUAAGCAUAGUGAGCAAGACAAAGUUGAUGGAUAAUAAGAUCAUGAGUGCAGCAUUUAAAAUAUUUGUCAGAUCAGAUUGCUCAACCUAAUGGAAAGAUAAUCUCUCUAUAGUUAUGUUGUUUUUUUAUAUAUCUUCCAAAGAUUGAGCGUGCAACAUUUUAGCUCAUAAGAUUAGGAGUGUGGGAUCACAAAGAUGGAAGGACUACACAUGUUGAAUCGAUUGGGUUGGUUAAUCUAGAGUUGUAAAUCAUACAUGUUUGUCUCUUUUAUUCAUGUGAACGCCAGAACCAAGGAGAAGCUUGUAGAAGUGAAAGUCAAGUACCUUAAGAUGUUACCUUACUUGAAGAGUGAUGGUACAGUAUCACCUUGUGGAAGCUCUCCUUUCUUAGUGGUUGUGCAUCAUGUUUGUGGCACCCUCCAUGGAUCAUCUCUUGUGAGGUAUGCCUUCCUUGUGUAAAUUGUUAAACUUCAUGUGUCUCUCUCUUUGUCUCCAAUGUGAGUUUAUCUCUGGACUUCCCAGGUUGAUAUUGAAAGUUUUCCUGCAGGGGUUAGUCCAACAAAAUAUCCAGUAUCUACUAUAGCAUAAUAUUGGCUCAAAGAUUAACCUAGACACCAUGUCUAAUUUGAUUUAGGAGGGCAUUUUAACCUAAGCAUCAUGCUUAAUUUAAACUCCCUUUGAAGUAAGAUCAUCAGCCCUAAACUAAGCACCAUGCUUAAUUAAGAGAUAAAUGAAACUACUCAAAACCUAGACAUAUACUAAAGCAAAUAAAGGUAGCAUCAGAGCGUUUAUAGAGAUCUACUCAAGUGGAGAUGAAGUAGUGUGAUUAGUAUUUAACAAAUUGAGCAUGUCUCAAAGGUAGGGACAACCAACAUAGCAACAUGGCAAAGGAUGUUUGUAUGUAAAGUACUCCCCCAAGCUUGAAUUUUGCAAAAUUCAAGUUUGGAUGAAUUUAAUUCAAUGUUAUAUGAUGAUUGGUUGGACAUACCUUGUGCUUGUCAUUCAUCCGAUCUUCUUGCUCCAAUCCUGGAAAGGUUAGUGACAAGAAUACCCGAAGGAAUAUUUUUACAAUUAUCCUUAUAUGCUCAACACACAAGGUAAUGUUGCAAAUAAUUAAAAGCUCAUAUUACAAUCUGAUCAGUGCUUGUUUUAGGACACUAAGCUUGUCCUUGGGAAACCAUCAAUUUAUGUCAGUGAAGUGGUUUCCCCUCCAAUGCUGACCUAUAUCAAGAUCAACUCAAUGACAUCUAGAAAAUUUAUUAUAGACAUAUGCAUCGACAACUGCCCUUUUAAAGUUUUUAUAAACAAAAAGGAUGCGGGGGUUGGAGAUCUCGAAUGUGGUGAUGUUGGAGAGACCAAUGGAUUGUGAAGAUGUUGCAUAUGAGCAUGGAGUAAAUGAAGUGGCAAUGAAAUAAAUUCCAUGCUCAUUAAUGCUUAGAGUGAAAUCCAUGUGGUAUGGUGAAAAUGAUAAGGUGAGUGUGGUAAAAAAAGAAAAGAAAAAGGAUACACGGAUGACUUGGUUCGAAACUAGCACAGCUACCGUUCCCCGGCAACGGCGCCAGAAAGCUUGUUGGGUAUUUUAAACGCAAACAGAAAAAUCCACAAGCGCACGGAUAUCGAUGUAGCUUUCACCCGGGAGUAUUCCAGAGUAUCGAUUUUCCACAGAGAACGUGAGUGUACUAAUUAAGAUCCAAGAUCGCCCAAGGAUAACUAUAUAAUUAUUUUUGGUGGGAAGAGAGGAAGUUUCCUGAGAGUUCUCUAGUUGAUCUAAGAAUCAAGAAUUACUUCAAGAUUAUCUAUAUCGGGACAUCAGAGCACUAACCACAGAAAGAGAUGAGAAGGGGGCUAGGAAGGUCUGACUACGGUCCUACAAACACCGAUCCGAACGUGGUGGAAUACGUCGACCGUUAGGGCUGUCACUACCCUAAGGCUACCACAACAAUCCGCAGGAUUGGGUGCAAUUCCAGGUAAUUGCAAGACUAAACACCACGUCUAAUCUAUUAAUUACUACUCUAGCGUUAUAAAGACUAGAGCACUUGAUGCAAGCGGGAAUCCAAUAAAUAACUUGAAUGUAAAUAAAAGUAAUUAAAGAACUCAGGAUUAUGAAUUGAAGAACCUGGAGAAUGAUGAAGAACGAACUAGAUGCUGCAAAAGUAUAAUGUUGAGGAAGAUCCGACAGAUCCGGGUCCUCCUCCGCUCUCCUCUUCUCUCUCCCUAUUUUCUAGACUACAACUAGAACUAGAACUAGAGGAACUAGAACUAGAACUAGAUGAACUAGAACUAGAACUAGAUGAACUAGAGGUAGAACUAGAAGAACUAGAGGGAUCCUCUCUACUUGGAUGAAGAAUUGAAACCCUAACUUUGAUUCUGUAGAAGAGGUAUGCUCUCCAGGGGCCAGGGGGCCUUGCUUAUAUAGUCUUUUCAGAUGAAUCUGGGCCGUCGGAUCGAACCGACAUUAAUCGCACGGUUUUCCUUGGUCCCUUAGGUCGGUGGAGCACGAUCCGCGAAGUUGAAGCUGAUGGUUACUGUAGCUGGCGGGCACCCAAGGGACUUGGGCGGGCGCCCUGCCCCCGGCCCGAUCGGCCUCCCGUUCGUUCCCGUGGCUUCUGGAGUCUUCUAGAUGGUAGAAAAUUGCGCGGCACGUUAAUAUCUCUAUGUAAACCCGACGUGUGGGCUUUUCUUUCAUAUUUCCUGAUAACCUCCUGCAGAAAUAGACAAACACCAAAACUCGUGGAAUUCUGUCAGAUAAAACCCUAAGUCUAGGUGUUGGUUGCAUAUAAGUCUUUUUCCAUGAUUAGUUGAUGGUUAAAUGUGAGCAUUAAGGACCGUCAACAAGCCACUGGACGCUCUACUGCGUCACACCGGACGCGUCCGGUGCACACCGGACCCAUGUGCAGAGAGCUCCGCAAACUCGCACAGUCACCGGACGGACCCUGAGCGUCCGGUGCUCACCGGUCAGAAACUCCUCGCGCACACUCGCUGACAUCACACACCACCAGACGCUCGAACAGUAACCGCCCACCGUCCGGUGCCAGCGUCCGGUGCGCUCUACACACCUGAGCCACAGACACCACACCGGACGCUCUGGACCAGCGUCCGGUGCUGCCAACACCAGCGUCCGGUGCUCCCGCAACUUCUCCAAAAUUCCCACCGGCGCAAUAGAAAAUAUACACUUAAUUUUCUCAAAAGCGCCGAAUCCCGCCGAGGAACCCACACCCCUCUCAACCCUAGGAACUCCACCUCCUUUGUAAAUGUGCCAACACCACCAAGUGUACACCACCAUGUGCAAGUGUGUUAGCAUUUUCACAAACAUUUUCCCAAAGGAGUUAGCCUCUCAAACUUGCCGCGCCACUCGAUCCUAACACAUAUGCAAAGUUAGAUCGCUCAAGUGGCACUAGAUGACCGAUAUGCAAACAAGUUUGCCCCUCUUGAUAGUACGGCCAUCUAUCCUAAAUCCGGUCAUAAACUUCUCUACACACCUAUGACCGGUGAAAUAGAAAAGCCCUAGGUUAUACCUUUGCCUUGCGCUUUCCAUUCCAUCUCCUCCAAUGUAGAUGCAACACAUGCACCAACCCAUCACCAAAUGAUAUGAUCCUCUUCAUAUCAUCAUGUGACUGUAUUGGUUCAUCGAUCUUGACCUCACUUGCUCUUCACCGUUGCCUCGGUCCAUCAGCGCCAAGUCUUGCUCAAGCUUCACCGUCACACGCGGUCCCUCGCUUCAAAGCCUCUGACUUUCCCUUCACUCUUGCAACCGGUCCAUCAAGCCAAGCCACAUCUUGAUCUUUUCCACCUUGGUCACAUGACUCCAUGUCAUGUCUCAUAUGCAAUGAGCUCCUCCAUCAUCAUAUAAUCACCUGUGGACUAAUCUCCUAUGUAUCUCACAUAAACACUAUUAGUCCACCUAAGUUGUCACUCAAUUACCAAAACCAAACAAGGACCUUUCACACACUUAAGAAAUAAUGCACGCCAUUAAUGAACUCUUCGGAGCGCCGAUCGGCAUUAUACAACCAAUUACGUGUUACCAUCUGCAUUAAAUAUAACAUAUAUAUUAUGAAAACCAUGCACACAUAUAGUUUCUCAUCUUAUUGCACAAUAUGUCUAACACACAUAGUUGAUUAAUUCAAGCAAGCUUGGCUACAACAAAUACAAUCGCAACUAGCACUAAAAAACCAAAACUAAAAUGCACUUAAGCAACAUAAUUAGUUCGAGUCUCAUCCCAACUAUAAUAGAUAGAUAAUUUGCUUGAUCAACAUCAUUGAACUCCUUUUGCCGGCUCACUGCCUCAUCACCUUCAGCCUCAACCACCUGUGCAAAAGAUUUCUUGAUGUGUUGAAUGUAUUCUUCCUUCCAGUACCAACCUGUACAUCCGCCGGUACCGUCCCACUGAAAUUAAAAGAGAGAAUCAAAAGUUUAAUUAAUAUCAUUAAAAAAAUAAGCACAUAUAUAAGCAAAUGUCUAGAAAUAACUCACAUUACGAUCCGGACACUUGUAGAAUAUAGGACCGUUGUUUACUCCCUCUUUCGACACUCUGUACUCCAUCACAAUCUUCUACCCACACUUGCCACAAGCAAUGAGAGGGAGUUCCGGCCGGUAUCGCUUUUGAACCCGUUGAGAGACUGAAGACCCGGUCACGGUUGCCAUCUACUAUCCAUACUCAAUUUUUAAACAAUUAUAAAUUCCACAUUUACUAGUAAACAUGUAUGAUAAAAGAAGAACCUAAUAAUAUCCUUUAUUUGUCUAGUUACUUCAACAAAUCUUCUAAAUUAUACAAUGGACAUUAUGUAGUAAUAAAAACUUAUCAAGUGAUAUUAAUAAACCAAUUAAUUUGAACUAUCCUACUUUCUAAGAUCAUAAAAAGAUACUAUUGACAGUCCUUAAGUACCAAAUAUAAUCAGCAAAUAAACAAAGAAAAGGAUCCAAAUACAACCAACAUCUAAACUUAGGGUUUUAUCUGACAGAAAUCCACGAGUUUUGGUGUUUGUCUACUUCUGCAGGGGGUUAUCAGGAAAUAUGGAGAGAAGGCCCACACGUCGGGUUUACAGAGAGAUAUUAACAUGUCGCACAAUUUUCUAUCAUCUAGAAGACUACAGAAGCCACGGGAACGAACGGGAGGCCGAGCGGGCUCGGGGGCAGGGCGCCCGCCCACCCCCCUUGGGCGCCCGCCCAGCUACAAGUCCAAUCAGGAAUCUCUUCGGGGAUUACGCUCCACCGACCUAAAGGAUCAAGAAUAACCAUUCAAUCAAUGUCGGUUUGAUCCGACGGCCCAGGUUCACUUGAGGGGACUGUAUAACCAGACCCCCUGGCCCCUGGAGGAGGCACCCCUUGAUCAUUAUUCAUUAUUCAUAGAUAGAGCAAAAGCUAGGGUUUAGAGAUGAGAGCUCUCCUCUCUUCUCUAAACUAGAGUAGAUCUAGAUAGUAGCGAGAUGGAGAGCGAAGGAGGAUUAGAGGAGAGGCCGGCCUGUCGGUUCUUACUCCGGUUGUACUUCGCCAUGAUCAAGCUCUAAUCAAGUUUGCUCAUGGGAUGACUUUGGUAAUCUACUUCUAAUUCAUUAUGCAAUUACUAAUCAUGUAUGUUCUGGUUCACAACUCUUUUGAGUACUUCUAAUCCAUAGGGCCCUAUAGGUUAGAGUUGUAGUAUAGGUGUAGGUGUGGUGCUUAGACCUAGAUUACUUGUGGAUAUCCCCUGUCUAGCUGGAUCGUGUGGUAGGCCGCGUAGGUGACAGUUACAUUGGUUCUCUGUAGUCCACCUCUCGUUAGCAGGACGGGUAGGGUUUAUUGGCCUAUGUAUAAGCAUCCUUUGUGGUGUACUCUUAUCACGUGGUUCGUCCUAGACAUAGACAUACCCCUUUGAAGAAGAGAAACCAUAGUUAUCCUCUCUAUUCUACUACCAUCGCCCAUAUAUUAGAUUGCUCUACUCUCUAUUCCCAUAUUAUCACCCACUGUUAUCUUACCUUUAAUAUUGUUCUUAUUCAAUUCUACCAUCUUUCCUAUUUACACCUAUCUAUUUAUCUUGGUUAAGUUAGAGCAUAGAUCAGUUCUCCCGUUUCCCUGUGGAUACAAUAAAACCUUUAACUGGGUAAAAGGCUACAACGGUAUGCAUGCGCUUGCGGAUUUAUCUGUGUGCGUAUAAAUACCAUAGUACACUCUAGUGCCAUGCUAGGGAUGACAACCUAGUAUUCAAGUGGUGUUAGCAAGUGUCAACAAGCAUUUUUGGCGCCGUUGCCGGGGAAACGGUUGCUGAGUUGACUACGAACUAGCUUAAUCAUUUUCUAAAAAAAUAAAAUAUAUAUAUUUUUUUCCUUUUAUCUUUUGCCUUAUCUCUGCUAUUCUUUCUUCUUAUCUAAUCCUUGAUCUCUGGUCUAUUAUGAAUUCAAACAUGUCUAUCUAUGAAUUUCAUAGACCUGUGGGCACACAUCUCGAACCACCAAAAUCUUCAAAGCCUAUCAUAGCAUCUAGUUUUGAGAUAGACCCCGAAUACAUAGAAUUUGUUCAAAAACAACCUUUCUCAGGAGAAGGUUAGGAAAACCCAUACACUCACCUAAGAGAGUUUUAUCGAGUCUGUGACCUCCUUCGCAUAGAAGGCAUGUCCGAUGAGACCCUUAAAUGGAAGCUCUUUCCGUUCUCUUUAACGGGAAAAGCUAGACAUUGGUACAAACUCAAAGUAGGGAGUGUUCAUGGAGAUUGGAAGGAGUUAUAUAAUAGUUUUCUUUCUAAAUAUUUUCUAAUCUCCAAAGUGGCGGAACCUCGGCGUAAGAUUCUUUCUUUUAGACAACUAGAAGAAGAAUCUCUUGGCAAAUCAUAGGACCGCUUCAUUAACCUUACUCUCACUGGCCCAAAGCUUUCUAUUCCAGAAGAAGUUCUUCUAAUUCACUUUUUUGAGGGCCUUAGUAGGGAAAAUAAGCGAACCCUUCAUGCGGCCUCUGGAGGAUCUUUCCACCACCUAUCCGCUAGUGAAGCUUGGAAUUUGAUUGAUUUAAUGAGCGGAAAGUCUCCUAGCUUUUAUAUCCCUGAGAAAGAGAAAGAACCAGUUCCUAGACAAGAAGAAGAAGUUUCGAUAGCCAGAUCACAACCACUUCAAUCCCAAACUUUAGCUAUCGAUCCUAAACCAUCAAUACCCCAAAAUUCUCUAAGGGAGGAAGGAAUUCUGACCUUAAAUCUUUCAGAUACUGAUGGUUUAGACUUCUGGUUCCAUAAGAGACCUUCAAGCAGGGAUAAUUCAAAUCCUUGCAAUAAUGGUUCUCUUAGAGAAUGUCCUGGUUUCUGUUAUGAAGAAGUUGAGGAUGACAUAUCAAGUGAAGGAGAGCUAAACCAUAUAGAAAAUCCUAUCUGCUCCCCUUCCAUGUUCACAAAUUCUAAAUCCAUCCUUGACCUUAGAGACCCCUCUUAUCCCUCUCCUUUUAAGUCUCAUGAUGAUCCUAGCAAUCCAUCAAAAUGAUCAAACCAUAGGAGUCAUAAAGACCAUGAGGAUGACGUGUCAAGUAAUGUCAUAGAAGGAGAGCUAAGCCAUAUAGGAAAUUCUAACACCUCCCCUUUCCUGAUCACAAGUUCUAAAUGGCUAGAAUGUGUAGAAUGGAUGGAUAAGGAAGAAGACUUAAUGGAUUCUGACUUUGGCUCAAUUUCAAAUGGUGAGUUCUUGACUCCUUUUGAAGAUGAGAUUUAUCCAACUACAGAAGAGGACACAGGUGAGACCAAUUCAAGAGAAACUCCAAACAUUCAGAUUGGAGACGAAGAUAACAUUAAUGAGUAUGGAAUUUAUUUCAUAGCCACUUUGUUUACUCUAUGCUCAUAUGCAACAUCUUCCCAAUCUAUUGGUCUCUCCAACAUCACCACAUUUGAGAUCUCCAACCCCCUCUUCCUUUCUAUUUAUAAAAACUUUAAAAGGGCGGUUGUCGAUGCAUAUGUCUAUAAUAAAUAUUGCGGAUCUCGUUGAGUUGAUCUUGAUAUAGGUCAGCGUUGGAAGGGAAACCACUUCGCCGACAUAAAUUGAUGGUUUCCCAGGGACAAGCUUAGUGUCCUAAAAUAAGCACUGAUCAGAUCGUAACAUGAGCUUUUAAUUAUUUACAACAUUACCUUGUGUAUUUAGCAUAUAAGGAUAAUUAUAAAAAUAUUCCUUCGGGUAUUCUUGUCACUAACCUUUCCAGGAUUGGAGCAAGAAGAUCGGAUGAAUGACAAGCACAAGGUAUGUCCAACCGAUCAUCAUACAACAUUGAAUUAAAUUCAUCCAAACUUGAAUUUUGCAAAAUUCAAGCUUGGGGGAGUACCUUACAUAAAAACAUCCUUUGCCAUGUUGCUAUGUUGGUUGUCCCUACCUUUGAGACAUGCUCAAUUUGUUAAAUACUAAUCACACUACUCUAUCUCCACUUGAGUAGAUCUCUAUAAAUGCUGUCAUGCUACCUUUGUCUAUUUUCUAGCAAGUGUUGGUUUGGAAGUACUCGACAUACUUCCAUUGGCAUUUAAAUUGAGCAUGGUGCUUAGGUUAAAUAGCCUUCCUUAAUCUGAUUAGACAUGGAGUCUAGUUUGGUUACUGAACUAAAAACUGCUUGAGUAGAUAUUGGUAUAUUUUGUCGGACUAACCCCUAUAGGAAAACUUUCACUAUCAACCUGGGAAGUCCUGAGAUAAACUCACAUCAGAGAUGAAGAGAGUAACACAUGAAGUUUAACAAUUUGCACAAGAAGGACAUAGCUCAUUCACCAUACAGAGAUGAUCCAUGGAAGGAGACAAAGUACAUAAACAAGAUACACAACCACUACGAAAGAAAAGCUUCCACAAGGUGAUACUAUACCAUCACUCUUCAAGUAAGGUAACAUCUUAAGAUAUCUGACUAUCACUUUUAUAAGCUUCUCCUUGGUUCUGGCGUUUACAUAAAUAAAGAGACAAACAUGUAUGAUUUAUAACUCCAAAUUAACCAACCCAACUGAUUCAGCAUGUUUAGUCCUUUAAUCUUUGUUCCUAGUACUACCUCCAUGAUCCCACACUCCUAACCAUAUGAGCUAAAAUGUUGCACAUUUAAUCUUUGGGAAGAUAUAAAGAAAAAGGCAUAUAUAUAGAUAGAUUAUCUUUCCAUUAGGUUGAGCGAUCUGAUCUGGCAAAUGUUUUAAAUGCUACACUCAUGAACUUAUCAUUCAUCAACUUUGUCUUGCUCACCAUGCUUAAGGUUAGAGAAGAACAAAUACACUUUUGGUUCUGUUGGUGUUUUCCACCAACAGGGCCCAUGCACUUGAUCUCUGCCUUGUCUCUAUGAACAGGUACACUACGAGCACAAACACACUGAGCAAGAUACUGCCAACACCGCACUUCGAACUACUGGGCAAACGAAGAACAUGGGUGACACCGUAUUAAGAGGUGCAGACGUCAAGGUCCACACCUGAAUCAAAUGACACACCUGAAGAAUGAACACGGUGAGAAGUCUUGUUCAGAAGACUUAAAACAUUGAAUCCUCGCCGAAAGGUAAAAUCGGUAGUUAUCCAUAUUUAUCCUUUCUGCAUUCCCUUUUCCCAUUAAUUAUUUACUUUCCUUAAAUAGAUUAUUAGUUAAUCAUGCUAUCUUGAAAAUAAAAUAAAAAUGUUAGUAAGCCCCAUAUGAGUAUGCUCGUGGCAUAAAACCUAUAAGUACAUUCACUGUGGUGGCGUAAAAAUAAAUAUAUUCCUGUCCUAUAGAAAUGAAAGUAUAAAAAUAAAUUUAUGAUCCUACCAAAGAGAGUAAUAUUUAUUAGAGGAAGCUCAACAUGACAAAGGUUAAGAGAUUUUAUGCUAACACUUAACCAGUUCCACAAAGCUUUGUUGUCUGUUUGAGCUCCACAGAAUUCAAGGAUCAAAGAAGACUAGCAAACGGAGGACAUCCUAAUCGUUGUCAGGGUGCUGCCGACAUUACACCUCCACCACCUGCUAGCUACAUUAGAAGAAAUUACGUCAAAAUCCAGCUUGGGGGAGAGCACCCCCAUUUAUCCAGCUAAGUGUUUCUACUCGCGUUUAUACUUUACUCAAAUAAUAAAAAGAUGCAUAAUCAUAAAAACCCAAAUAAAGAAUUUGUGCUUAUAUAUAUAUCUAUGCUUAGUUUGCUAAAUAAAUAAAUAAAUAAAGUUUGCUAUGAACCCUCAUGAUAAGCUCUCACAUGGAAAUGAUGAAUAGUUGCUCUGCCAUGACUAGUUCUCAAAAUUGAAAUCUCUCUCAAGUUUAGGCAUGACUGUUAUGAAUUAAGAUUUGCUCUAAACCUGAACUUGUGGGAAGAGUACUUGAUCUAAAGUCUAAGUCGUUAACAGAUAUGAUAUGGGAAGGUUGAGUUGCUAUUUAUCUGUUCCUAGAGAUGCUAGAAUUCUGGAGAAUUUUAUCUUUGAAAAUCUUUAAAAUGUUGCAUGAUGAGUUCCUGUAUGAUGAGAGUUUAAAAUCCUACCACAGCCACAUAUACAUGCUUAUGAGACUAUGAACCAUACAUUUACUUUUUACUGCUUAUGAGCAUUGAGUGUGGUCAAGCUAUGUAGACCCUUAGGAGCUUGUCAUGCGGUUAUAAUCAAGAUUCACUUGCACGUCCACUCAUACAUGCUGCUUCUACUCUAGAAGUAUGCAUCCACAUACAUCCACUCAUUUCCAUCUCCAGAUGCACCCAAAAUUAUUCUACUCCUAUCCGGGAGAGAAUAGCCAAAAAUAUUAUCCCAUUCCUGUUUUUCUCUGUGAAAUAAAUGCUCGAGCUAUUUUGGUUACUACCACUUGCUACAUUAUUCCAGGAGGGUGAGUGCUCUGAAAAAAAGAAGAAAAAUACGAGGAAAUAAAAAGGGGCAAGUGCUCGGAACCUCGAAAGAAAAAAGAAAAAGUGAGACGAGAGGUAAAAAUGGACAAGUGUCCGAUAGUAGAAUUAGGGGUACAAGAUACCCACCUGAGAGAAAAGAAAAAGAAAAUAUAGAGCAUCUCAUUCCUCUCAAAAACCUUCAAAGUGCAAGAAAGGUAUGUAUCCCCUCAAAAGAGCAAAAGUAGAAUUAGACUUUCACCAUUAUUUUCACCAUCAUCACCAUACACUAUUCAUCCACCACAGAUGCACAUCUUGGUUUGACUUAUUGACUUGUUUCUCUGGAUCCAUGGUUUGACUAUGCAAUAAAUGUCUUGUAAGUAUGUAUUAGUUGUCUCCCACCUAUGAGCUCCAGAUAUCAAACCUUAUUAGAGUAGGGUGAGAGAGAAGGCAAUAUCACUAUGCCUCAUACCACAAAUACUACAUACUUUGAGAGAAGGCGUAUAUUAUCACUGCCUUGGUAAGGAUCUAGAAAUACCACAAAAGAGAGACUAGAGAGAGUCAUACAAGGAAUCUCUGAGUUUUAUUUGAAAAUCUGCAAAAACUCCAGAGCUAUAGUUGAUCAAAGAACAAGAGACAUGGUGCUUGACUUGACUGUUCUAUCUUUUAACUGCUCAAGACACAAGUGACGGUUGCAAGCCCCAUCGUGAAAGCUAAUAUGAGUAAGUUUUAAAUCUUAACAAUUUACCCUAACCUAGAGAUGAGAUCUUGUUUAAACGCAUGUGUACCUUUAAGGCAUAAAACCACUGUAGAAACUCUUGAGUCCAUCCUUGCUCAGAGACGAGCAAGAGGUAAGCUUGGGGGAGUUGUUGACGGUCCUUAAGUACAAAAUAUAAUCAGUAAAUAAACAAAGAAAAUGAUCCAAAUACAACCAACAUCUAAACUUAGGGUUUUAUCUGACAGAAUUCCACGAGUUUUGGUGUUUGUCUAUUUCUGUAGGGGGUUAUCAGGAAAUAUGGAGAGAAGGCCCACACGUCGGGUUUACAUAGAGAUAUUAACGUGCCGUGCAAUUUUCUAUCAUCUAGAAGACUCCAGAAGCCACGGGAACAAACGGGAGGCCGAGCGGGCUCGGGGGCAGGGCGCCCGCCCACCCCCCUUGGGCGCCCGCCCAGCUACAGAGUCCAAUCAGGACUCUCUUCGGGGAUUACGCUCCACCAACCUAAAGGAUCAAGAAUAACCGUUCAAUCAAUGUCGGUUUGAUCCGACGGCCCAGGUUCACUUGAGGGGACUAUAUAACCAGACCCCCUGGCCCCUGGAGGAGGCACCCCUUGAUCAUUAUUUAUUAUUCAUAGACAGAGCAAAAGCUAGGGUUUAGAGAUGAGAGCUCUCCUCUCUUCUCUAAACUAGAGUAGAUCUAGAUAGUAGCGAGAUGGAGAGCGAAGGAGGAUUAGAGGAGAGGCCGGCCUGUCGGUUCUUCCUCCGGUUGUACUUCGCCAUGAUCAAGCUCUAAUCAAGUUUGCUCAUGAGAUGACUCUGGUAAUCUACUUCUAAUUCAUUAUGCAAUUACUAAUCAUGUAUGUUCUGGUUCACAACUCUUUUAAGUACUUCUAAUCUAUAGGACCCUAUAGGUUAGAGUUGUAGUAUAGGUGUAAGCGUGGUGCUUAGACCUAGAUUACUUGUGGAUAUCCCCUGUCUAGCUAGACCGUGUGGUAGGCCGCGUAGGUGACAGUUACGUUGGUUCUCUGUAGUCCACCUCUCGUUAGCAGGACGGGUAGGGUUUAUCGGCCUAUGGAUAAGCAUCCUUUGUGGUGUACUCUUAUCACGUGGUUCGUCCCAUACAUAGACAUACCCCUUUGAAGUAGAGAAACCAUAGUUAUCCUCUCUAUUCUGCUACCAUCGCCCAUAUAUUAGAUUGCUCUACUCUCUAUUCCCAUAUUAUCACCCACUGUUAUCUUACCUUUAAUAUUGUUCUUAUUCAAUUCUACCAUCUUUCCUAUUUACACCUAUCUAUUUAUCUUGGUUAAGUUAGAGCAUAGUUCAGUUCUCCCGUUUCCCUGUGGAUACGAUAAAACCUUUAACUGGGUAAAAGGCUACAACGGUAUCCGUGCGCUUGUGGAUUUAUCUAUGUGCGUAUAAAUACCAUAGUACACUCUAGUGUCAUGCUAGGGAUGACAACCUAGUAUUCAAGUGGUGUUAGCAAGUGUCAACAGAUACUAUAAUUCAUUCUUGCAAACUACAUUAAUACUAGGUCAACCAUGAAAUAUGAUAUAUAUACAUAGAUACUAAUUCAAGUGAAUGAUUCAAAAUAACAAAGUGGAUUUGAGCUAAAAAUAAUGGGAAAAUCACAAGCCAAAAACAACAUGAAAAAGACAAAAAAAGAUGAAGUUAGUCACCUCUAAGCACGAAGAGACGAUGACGGAGUCAAAGAAGAUCAACGAUGGGCGUCAGAGAUGAGGAACAAAGGAAGAACAAGCAAGAACAACAAAAUAGAAGCUCUAAGAACGACCAUGGUGCUCUCGGUUUCGAAUGGGCAGAGGGGAGGAGGUAGCCGGCCUAUAAACCGGACCUUUAGCACCGGUUCAGAGCACAAACCGGUGCUAAAGGGUCACCCUUUAGCACCGGUUCGUGUUACCAACCAGUGCUAAAGGGUUUGCCUCGGCCCAUGGCACUGGCCGGUGAUAUAAAGGCCCCUUUAGCACCGGUUGGUAACACGAACCAGUGCUAAAGGGUCCCUGCCCGGACAACACCUGUUAGUAGCCGUUGGGCAGGACCCUUUAGCACUGGUCCUUGUUCCGAACCGGUGCUAAAGGGGCCUUUAGCCCCGAGCCGCAAAAAAGCCGAGGUUUUUGGAGAUUUUAGGCAUCGACCAAUGCCUCAUUCUGUAGUAGUAGUGUUGUCUACUAAACUAAACACGUUAUGUGUUUGGUCUUUAUUAUGUAAAAAAAAAUGUGCUGGAGAGAUCUCACGGCAUUCUGUAAGUCUGAACCAAGUAGUACGAAAAUUUGGAUAUGGAGAAUCAUCAACAUUUUCAUUUCUUCUCUAAUAAUAAGGAUAUGUUUAGUUCCCUAUUAAAUACAAAAUACAAAAUAUCAAUUACUUUGGAAUAAUGAAAUACAAAAUGUCAAUUUAUUUUAUAGUUGUGUUUAGUUCCAUCUAAAAUGCUAAAUUUUUUCAGGUGCUGGCGGGGUGGGCACGGGCUCCCAGGUGUUUUUGGGCUUUUUUAGCCUCUUGAGACCAAAAUUCAAAACGGCGAAUAUCCAUAUUUUUAGUAAAAAUUUUUACAUGGUAUUUAGUUUCAUUAUGGAAAAUAAUAGAUCCAAAUAUAAAAUUUUAUGAUGAAAAGAGAAAACACCCCCGCAUUUUGGGAUGUGUUGUUUUCCGAUAUAAAGGGAUGGUAGAAUUGUUGCUGUGACCAAUCUUGUUGUACAUGUUUAUCAGUGGGCCUACUAGUGACCUCCUUGGUGGCAUGUUCUGGCCAGACUGCAGAAAGAAUAACUGUGGCAGGUGUUUUCCCUUUUUCGUAGUGGACAAACACGUUCGCCACAGUCAUAAGGCCACGGUAAAUCGUGUNNNNNNNNNNNNNNNNNNNNNNNNNNNNNNNNNNNNNNNNNNNNNNNNNNNNNNNNNNNNNNNNNNNNNNNNNNNNNNNNNNNNNNNNNNNNNNNNNNNNCUGCAUCUAGCUUCGAAUACAUUUAUUACCUAACAGACCGAAGCAAUAGCGGACCACGAGACUUUUGACCCUGGCAAAUUUUAAUACGAUGAGUAUUUGCUAUAGAAAAAUUGGAAACCGCUAAUGCGCGGCCGGCCGUGCAUUAAGCUUCCGGUACGCACAUUCCGUUUACGGAAGGUUUUUUAAAACCAUCAGUAACCAUUCCUAUUUGCUUUUGCACUCCUUUUUUCUCUUGUUGUCGUUUUCUACUUCUUCCAACUAACUCGCUGCUCCUAGAUUUUCUAGGCAUUAUUUAGCUCAUAUCCCAAAUAUUACAAAUUUGAUACAUUCACCAAAAUAAGCCGAAAUCAAAUAUAAACUAUUCAUCACACAUGACAUUUUGGACAUCUUGAGAUAUUUCGUAUAACAAUCCACAUAUGUCAUUUUGGGCACCUUGAGAUGUUUUGUAUAGCAACUCAGGCUUCUUAUAGAAGGGAACGUAUCCUGUGUAACCCAGCUUCGUGUGCAACCUAUGCAACUAUCAAUUAAGGCCACAAGAUCUAAAUCCAACGUCUGAGGUUUUUUCAUUUAAACCCUCCCAUCUAGAUACACACGGGUUAGAUUUAAACCCACAGGUGGAGGGGUUUAAGUGAAAAAAUCCUCAGACGUUAGAUCUAGAUCAUGUGACCUUAAUUGGUGGUUGCAUAGGUUGCACACGAAGCUGGUGCAUAUGAUACGUUGCCCUUAUAGAAUACAUAGACGAAAAGGUAGAUAUUAUGUACUACUACGAUAGAAAUACAUCUUGUUUGGACUAAAUCUCCUUGUGUUGGUAAUAUAUAUACUGAUCCACCAUGCAUCCCGCUUGCACACAUGGCUCUCUUUGUUCAUUUUAUCCCAUGUUGAUGCUUGAGAGACCAUCACACCUGCAAGUAAAAAAUGUUAAAAAAAUUUAGGCUUGCAGCAACUAGAUGUCAUAUAGCAUAUAUAAGUACUGAAACCUUGUCUAUGCAAAUGCAUAAACAUGAGGCACACCAUAGCAUGUUACUGAACAAAAAUUGCAUAACCUUGUGUUUUUUUGCCUAAUCCAGUACACUAUUAUUGUCUAAUAAAUUUGACUAACUACCUUGCAUGCCAUGAUAUAGCAGCACACAUCUAUCCUAUACACUUAAAGUUGUAGAUUGCUCCCCCUCUCACAAAACUCCUAUACAUGAACAGCUCCCAGACUCAGAACACUGUUCUGGUAACAGUAUCCAAGCAACCACCGUCGGAUCAGGCCGUAGUGAGCACCUACCGUCCAUGCAAGGAAUCAUCAUAUAUGUGUCAAAAAUAUAGAUUUGGAUGAGCUACCUCCAGAUUUUCAAUAGAAGGCUACAUUGCCUAUUUAGGAGCACAUUGUUGCCUAACAAAUGACUUAAUUUGCCUACAUGCCAUGAUAUAGCAGCACACAUUUAUACUAACUGUCUUGCAUGAAAGGAAUCAUCAUAUAGGUGUCAAAAAUAUAGAUCUGAAUGAGCUACCUCCAGAUUAGCAACAAAAGGCUAAAAUGCCUAUUUAUGUGCACAUUGUUGUCUAACUAAUGACUUAAAUUGCCAUAAAAAUGACACUUAAAUUGCCUAAGAAAAUGGUUGUGUUUUUCUUUUGCGUGUGUGCCAUCAUACCUCGUUGCUGCCAUUUGGACACCGGCACACAUACUCCACAAAAUCCCUGCCCUCUAGACAUUGUAUGAAGAACUAUCCCUGUAAAUGCAUGCAAAAAAGAGUUGUUUUCAUUACAUUUGUAUAUAGCAAGAAGCAAAAAAAACAUCACAGGUAAAAUGCCUACAAUCUGAGAAUAGAACAAAGGGCAACUAGCUCAAUAAUAUAAGUCAUCUAGUAUUUUCAUGUGUGCUUAGAAAUAAGGAACUCACAUGAAGAAAAUUUGGUAGUUAGCCUACUCGGUGGCUAUUAUUUGGUUGUAGCUGCACCUUAUUGCAGUUAUACCUACAAUAUAGUCUAGUUCACUUUUGCGGCCAAAAUAGCAGCAGCCGGCUGUAAGAAGUUGCAUUUUCUUAGGCAAUUUAAGUGUCAUUCAUUAGACAACAAUGUCUUCUUAAAUAAGUAGUUUUUGUAUUCUGAAAAAGCAAGUAUAGUAUUUGUGUUCAUUAGCAACCCACAACCCCACUCCCACCCCCGGUGUAAAAAUAAGCAGAGACAUAUGACUGUAUGAACCAUCACCUAGCAUUGCUAUAGAAGUAACAUGUAGUACAUCUUUGGCAUGCAGAUCUCCAAUGAAUGUAGAAGUGUUAAACCUAAAUCACAAGAAUACAAGAGAAAAAGAGAAGUAGGGAUCAGUUCAGAGCAGAUCCCAGAUGUGUAUAGAAAGAUUCAACAACAUGUCAAAAGGUAAGAUGAUAAGACUGGUAACCAUAAAGUGAAACAGAUGGUAAAGAGAUAUAUGCAUCUUUGAUCUUUCCACCUAUAGUUCUUUCAAAAGUGAUAAUUGUUAACACUAAAAACCAAGUAAAAAAAUUAGUGUGAACUUAGAGAAAGUUACCAUGAACAAAAAUCUGGGUGUUAUCAUGUCUACUAAAAACGUUAAUUGAAACUGUAGGAUCUAUCAAUUUGUUUCACUCGACUUUAGUUGGUAAAUGUUUUCCAAACUCCAACUUAAUUUCACUAUCUUACCAGUUUAUUCUACUGGUGUUCUCAAUUGGUAACUAUUUUUCCAAAUCCUACUUAAUUAAGCAAGCUUGCAUUCGCAUCUCAGUAGUUCACUUAGCAGAAAGAAAAAUAUAAUAGAAUUAAAUCAUUCUACAAACACUCACAUCGUUGCAGCCUUUAUAAAGAUGCUUCCCCUAGAACCACCUCCACCCUUCUCAUUGCUAUCCCCACCUGUGCAUUCAUGACCAGGUCGUCAUCAUAAAUGGUAGCAAAAAAAGCUGAUAUGUUGCGUAUCUAAAUGAUAUAUCGUUGCCUAUCCAAUGUUAUGUUAUUGCCUGUAUGAGCCCUUAUUGUUGCCCCGCCGUAUAAAUUAAACCUAGAGGAGGAUUAACAAUGGCAUAGCAGGUAGCUAGCUAUUGCCACCUCCAACUUGCCUAUGUGCUAUGCUUGAGGUGAUGAGGAGGAGAAUCGCAUCAGCAGAUGAAUUAAUGGAUGAAUGAAUGAAUAAACAAGCCUGGUUGGUGCAGAGUACAGCAGCCGGUGGAGCAAUUGGACAAAGAUUGCAUGUGGUUGUCAGAAGACAGAUGAUGCAUCAUUGGAAAUGCAAGCCAAGGUUAGUACUAUAAAAUGUGAUAAUCACAAUCGGGUACCAAAAAGGUUCAGAGUGAUGGCUGCCGUACUUCAAAAUUUUGCAUCAGAGAUGUAGACAGAGGUAAAAUUUUACGGUUCAGUUCUGUAACCUAGCCUCAUUCAGUCUAUAUAACGUAAAUGUUGGCAAGAAAAAAUCUUACUCUGAUUUGUUUUGAAUCUUUUGAAUGAAGAUCUAUAAUACUAGAGUAUUGACAAUGUUUAGAAAAAAUCUCGUUAGUUGAUACAAUAAGCAAUUAUUAAAAGGACAGGGAAAUGUGAAUCAUCAUAAUUCAUACGCACAAGGUAAGGGUUCAACUAGAACGGUGACUGAAACUUACCCCCACAGUGCCACCAUUACUCAUGACAUCUAAGAAGUAGUGCCCGUGAGCAUGGCCAUUAUGCCAGCUCCUCUCACCAUUAUCCUUGGAAGCCUUGAUCUUUCUUCUUGACAACUUGGAUAACUGCAAGAAAGUAAACAAACAGAUACAGAGCAGGACCCAACGACAGUGACACAACAAAGCUGUUAUUGUUGCCUAUCUAAAUAAUAUAUAGUUGCCUAUCCAAUGUUAUGUUAUUGCCAGUGUGAACUCUUAUUGUUGCCUAUGCAGUGCUAUAUUGUUGCUUAAACAUAUAAAGGUGUCAAAUGCAGAAUCUUAAAUACACCUUCUAACUUCUUUGUCCUCUGUUUUGAGCAGUACUCAAUGAUCUUAAAUCAACUGCUCAACAAGCAUCUGCAUGCAUCUACAAGAGAAUGACCAAAUUAAAAUCCCAUCAUUCAGUCACACACUUAAUAAGCACCAGAACAUUGUGCCCUCAAAUACCAACAUAUAGAUUACAAAACUACAUAUACAACAACCACGAAAAUCGUAAAGCAAAAUUAAAACUAAAACCACUCAAUCAUAAUCACUGAAUAUUAAAAAAAUAGAACAGGAUCUGGAUCUCACAUUAUUACCUAACUGUCAAUCUGUCACCGACGAAGGAUUGGGAGCGGGCAGGACCGUGCAGCCGACAGGGAAAAGAGCCAGUGGAGGGCCGAAGGGCCUGCAAGCCGGCCGGCUUGGUCCCUGAUGUAGCCGCGCAGGCGGUCUGGGAAGCUCCUCGCCUGCAUAGCUAGUUAGGCGGGGGAGGUGACCGACGUGACCUUGGCUGUGGCCACCGGUCGGCUAGGCUCGGCCCCAGGCGCAACCGCGUAGGAAGGAGCUCUGGCCCCUGGCAGUGGAGGUCGGGUUGGGGAAUGUAUGACCUGCAACCAUGGAUGAGGCGUGGGGAAAUCGAAUAAAAACAAAUCAGCAUCAAAAUCAAUCAGCUCACAAUUACAGGCGAAUCGAUUAAGCGACGGCGACUUGCCUCACAACACUAUAGCAUUGAGCGAGGCCACUAGAUCGUGGAUCUAGGGCAUCAGACCCUGGAUCUAGGCCGCCUGUCCAUGGAUGCGGCGACGCCCACGGCACUAUCCAGGUGGCGGUGCAGGGAGGCGGCGACGGGGAGCAGGAAAGGGUCAGCGCUGGGGAGCGAGUCCACUGGAGCAGGUCGUGCUCAUGGAAGAAAGGUGACCACGCGGGCCGGGGGAGAGAGAGAGACAGGGGCGAGUGGAAGACGAGCAGGUGGGCGACGACGAGCGUAAGAAGUGUCCGUGUGGGGCGAUAAUAAGAUGACGGCCGGCCAAAACAAAGUCUUUACCUUUUUUUAAAAAAAAAACCCGAGGAACUAAACUUUUCAAGGAACCGAACGGAUAACCAAAUGCCAAUCCCCUAAAUACUGGAUUGAGGUGGACGCAAGUCCGGCACAAAAAGGCCAUAUGGAUUUCUGACGUGUUUCGUGGGUACCUUCCAACUAUUUCUGACUGCAUGACAAAUAUGUACGAAUUCGGACAGAGCUUGCCUCACAUGUUUCUGUACCACCAAAAACCAGGUAAAUAGACCAGUUGAAACAAAACUGUACAGCUCGAGAGGCUAACACUAUCCCCACCAAAGAACAAGUGGGCGUGUUUGGUUGCCCCUUCUCCCCCAUCCUGAUUUUGCUCAUGCGUAUAUAUAUACCAAAAGAAGCUUCUUUGGUUGCCUUCAUUUACUGUUCUAUGCUAUAAUCAACAAUUGUACUCCUGUUAUAAAAAACAAUUGUACUCCCACAUGUGAUAUGCACUACUACAGGAUUGAUUAACCGCAACGAGCCCAUUUCCACCUCCGUGGCAGGCACAGUUUUCAUCCGCCACGGUUAUUCAACCGCACACAAUUACUUUUGGCCACAGGAACGCCCGCUGCGAAGACAAUGGCAAAGGACAAGGCGAUGGCCAUGGCCAGGACAAGGAGAAGGCACAAGACGAGGACGAUGGCGGAGAUAAGGAGAAGACACAAGUAGAUGAGGGGGACAAAGACAUGGGCACAACCUGUGCCCCUCCUCCAAACAGCCCACCUCGGAGCCCAAACAGACAACAAGGAGGCACGGAGGAGGCAACGAGGACUAAGACACCUCUGCCAACAGCUACUCCUACGCUUGAAGCCCCCUCCUCCACCAAGCAAGGAUGCAUGCAUGACCGCUAAGGAUGAAAACGGAACAGAAAUAUCGCAAACCGAACCGAACCGCUUUCUAUAUUGGAUCCGAUCGAAUUUAUAUUUUCUUGUCCGACUUUACCGUUUUCGCUUUUGUAUUUUAGAUGUUUCGUAUUUCAAAUGUAAAAGUAGAAAACGGUUUAGACAUUUUUCGACCGUUUUCUACUUUUCUACUUUUAAUUUGAAAUAUUUUGAAUUCAAAAUUUGGUUUAAAUCGAAUUUAGUCAACUGCACGGUCACACAGCCCCAAUUACAGAGUACUCACCAAGGAUUUGUGUUCUUUCUACUAGUGGCUAGCUAUGUUCCUGCUAGCUAUUAAUUGUUUGUUCUUAUUUAUGUGUGGGCUAUUGUAUUAAAUACCUAAGACCAAGAAUCAUGCACUUUUUAAUUAUUAUAUGCACUUAAACUUGAUCGUGUGUAUACUUAGUUAUGCACUUGGUACUACACAUCGGUAUUUCGUAUUGAGUUUCCGUAUAUCGACCGUGUUCGACAUAAAUCUGCUUGAAUUGGUUCGUUUUCGAAAUUCUUGAUAUUUCGUAAGUUCGCGUUCGUUUUCGUGUCCGACUUUACCGUUUUCGUUUUCGUUUUCGUUUUCGUAUUUCAAAUGUAAAAAUAGAAAACAAUUUAGGAGUUUUUCGACCGUUUUCAUCCUUAAUGACCGCCACACUGCUCCCGUACACUACUACGUCCGAAAGGUAUGAGAUAAACAAACAUAAUAUUCUCGUAACCUUUCUAUAACACAUCAAAUGGUAAUAACAUUUGUAUCCAUGUUUUGCCAGGCCUACAAAUACUCUUCAGAUCAAUCUAUUUACCGAGGCGGAAGACUGUCCUGGCCACUAUGAGCUUGGAAAGUUCAUGCUACCUAAGGCUCAGCUCAUCGACGAUGAAAAGUGGGAUACAAGGAAGUUCCACCUGUGGUAUAUGGAAGCGGCAAAAGCCGAGAUGACAGGUUUCACCGUCAAGAUUCCCAAGGAGUUGUUCCACUUGCCCGGUGGCGAUAUUCAGCUACAUGUGGACUUCUAGGACAUGUACAAUCUAUUGCGGGAUGAAGACCUUGACAUCGUCCAAAUCACCUUAUUCUCUCUGUAACUGAUGAUUGCGACCUUCAUAGACCAAUCUCUACAUUUGUAUUGGAGAACUAUAUGAUUUUUAGGACACGAUGACUUGUCCGUGCAGGUUGACGGUCACUAUUAGCAACAAAAGGCACCAUCCUAUCCUAUACCUCUCUCCAAUGCAUAUUGCUAAGAGAGUGAUCAAGGGUUUCAACAUAAUAGACCCAGAGUUGACCGUGCGACAGAGGGAAAAGAAGUACGAAGACAACAUGAAAGAGGAGAAGAAGAAAUUGUUAAGGUACAUCUUUGAAGUAGUGAAGAAGCUCAACCCGGAUGGGCCGCAUUGUAUUAUGGCUACCUACCACUUUGGGUAAGUCAAAAACAUCCAUGUAGAGCAAAAGUGGUUAGGAUCAUGCCUUCUCAUCGACAUAACUUAUACUUUGUUUCAAUGGUGUAGAAAUGACCUAGCCGGCGGCCACUGGGUUGCCUUCCUCAUCUAUCCUCAAGAUGGCCGGAUUGUCAUAUUUGACUCGUUACAGGUCCCGGACAAAAAGGGAUACAAAGCCUUCGAAGACUGCUUGAAAAAGUAAGCCACCGAGCUUCUUGAUCAUUUACGGUUAUCGUAUUCAAAUUGACGCUAACACUAAUACACUUCGUACAGCGCUUAUAGUGCAUAUCUCAAGGAUCCGCAAUGCUAGAAUUAGAGAACGGAGAAAUUUAAGAAGAGGCAUAAGCACCACCUCAAAAUCCGACAUGAUUUCCCGGUAAGUAUGUUUCAAAGGUAGUUCAAUCAUGUUUGUGGUACAUAUGUGUUCUAAUGCUUCUAUAUCGAUCAUGCAGUGCGCCAAACAACCCUUGGGAUCAAAGGCAUGUGGCUUGUACACCUGCGAGAACCUAAGGUAAAGCAGGGAGUACACCAACAGCUGGAAGAAGCUCAAGGAAGCACUGAAGGAUCAUGGAGAGACGAUGAAGAAUGAACACCACGCUUUCAAGCAAAUCAAGGCGGACAUUUGUAAGUUCAUCCUAGAGAAAUGUGUGCUCGAAGGCGAACCAUUCUUUGACAAUGAAGGUGAAUUUGCGGUUCGACCUGAGUUCGAGAAGUUUAGGAGAUGGAACACCAUGCUACGGCCGACGGAUUACGUCCAUACAGUAGAAUUGUGAUGUAUAGCGGCUUCCUCGGUUUCCUAUGUGUAUAUGUGAAUGAUGAGAACAACUAAGUGGAUUUAUAUAUUAUGUCAUGUCUUAUGUAUUGAACUUCUAGGCAUAUAUAUAUAUAUAUACGGCAGCGCUAUUCUACACCCUAAAUCUGAGCAGAAAAAUACUGAGCAAUACUGAACAACGUUCAGUAUCAUCCAGGACCGCGAAAUACUGAAUAAUACUAAAAUAUGGGUACUGAAUAAUACUGAAAUUUGUUCAGUAUAACACUUUGGUGUAGAAUAGUAUUCUACACCUAGAGUGUAGAAUAGCACUAUAAACACCCGGCGACCCCGACCAGCCAUAUACGGGCUCCUUGACAAAUACACAAUGAAACACAACGAAGUUGUUAUGGUAUCCAAAGGAUUUUUCUAUGGUAAAGACUUUGUUUUGGCCGGCCGUCAUCUUAUCGCCCCGCACGGACACUUCUUACGUUCGUCGUCGCCCACCUGCUCAUCUUCCACUCGCCCCUGUCUCUCUCUCUCUCUCUCCCCCGCGUGGUCACCUUUCUUCCAUGAGCACGACAUGCUCCAGUGGACUCGCUCCCCAGUGCUGACUCUUUCCAGCUCCCCGUCGCCGCCUCCCUGCACCGCCACCUGGAUAGCGCCGCGCAUUUUAGCCUUUUGUUGCUAAUCUGGAGGUAGCUCAUUCAGAUCUAUAUUUUUGACACCUAUAUGAUGAUUCCUUUCAUGCAAGACAGUUAGUAUAAAUGUGUGCUGCUAUAUCAUGGCAUGUAGGCAAAUUAAGUCAUUUGUUAGGCAACAAUGUGCUCCUAAAUAGGCAAUGUAGCCUUCUAUUGAAAAUCUGGAGGUAGCUCAUCCAAAUCUAUAUUUUUGACACAUAUAUGAUGAUUCCUUGCAUGGACGGUAGGUGCUCACUGCGGCCUGAUCCGACGGUGGUUGCUUGGAUACUGUUACCAGAACAGUGUUCUGAGUCUGGGAGCUGUUCAUGUAUAGGAGUUUUGUGAGAGGGGGAGCAAUCUACAACUUUAAGUGUAUAGGAUAGAUGUGUGCUGCUAUAUCAUGGCAUGCAAGGUAGUUAGUCAAAUUUAUUAGACAAUAAUAGUGUACUGGAUUAGGCAAAAAAACACAAGGUUAUGUAAUUUUUGUUCAGUAACAUGCUAUGGUGUGCCUCAUGUUUAUGCAUUUGCAUAGACAAGGUUUCAGUACUUAUAUAUGCUAUAUGACAUCUAGUUGCUGCAAGCCUAAAUUUUUUUAACAUUUUUUACUUGCAGGUGUGAUGGUCUCUCAAGCAUCAACAUGGGAUAAAAUGAACAAAGAGAGCCAUGUGUGCAAGCGGGAUGCAUGGUGGAUCAGUAUAUAUAUUACCAACACAAGGAGAUUUAGUCCAAACAAGAUGUAUUUCUAUCGUAGUAGUACAUAAUAUCUACCUUUUCGUCUAUGUAUUCUAUAAGGGCAACGUAUCAUAUGCACCAGCUUCGUGUGCAACCUAUGCAACCACCAAUUAAGGUCACAUGAUCUAGAUCUAACGUCUGAGGAUUUUUUCACUUAAACCCCUCCACCUGUGGGUUUAAAUCUAACCCGUGUGUAUCUAGAUGGGAGGGUUUAAAUGAAAAAACCUCAGACGUUGGAUUUAGAUCUUGUGGCCUUAAUUGAUAGUUGCAUAGGUUGCACACGAAGCUGGGUUACACAGGAUACGUUCCCUUCUAUAAGAAGCCUGAGUUGCUAUACAAAACAUCUCAAGGUGCCCAAAAUGACAUAUGUGGAUUGUUAUACGAAAUAUCUCAAGAUGUCCAAAAUGUCAUGUGUGAUGAAUAGUUAUAUUUGAUUUCGGCUUAUUUUGGUGAAUGUAUCAAAUUUGUAAUAUUUGGGAUAUGAGCUAAAUAAUGCCUAGAAAAUCUAGGAGCAGCGAGUUAGUUGGAAGAAGUAGAAAACGACAACAAGAGAAAAAGGAGUGCAAAAGCAAAUAGGAAUGGUUACUGAUGGUUUUAAAAAACCUUCCGUAAACACGGAAUGUACGUACCGGAAGCUUAAUGCACGGCCGGCCGUGCAUUAGCCGUUUCCUAAAAAACGGUUUCUAGAAAAUGGGAACCGGUUGAUUCCAAAAUUCUAGUAAAUGAAAGUCUUACAAAAUACAAGUACAACUCAUGUAUUUAGGUUCUUUUGGUUAAUUGGUUAACCGAGAGUAGGAACCCAAGUUUCUUUGGUUAUUUCGGUUUUGGCUAUAUGACCGAAUAAAGAACUAAACCUUUUGGUUUCGAGUCUUUCAGUUUAAGUUCAGGUUCUUUUUUUUAUGUUUUUUUGGUUUCAGGUAGUUAUGCCCAUCCCUAGUAUUGGAGUAUAUUAAAGUGGAAAUUCACUCAGGGUCGAGGCCUUGAGGUUCUGUUUGACUGCACUCAUAUCUAUCCAAAUCGACAUUGUGUUAAGGCGGAUUAUGGUGAAAAUUAAACUAACUUAGAGCAUUUCCACCACUUUCCUAAUAAUCAAUCCCCAAUAUGUAUAUAUUGGAGUAAGCCAAUAUUAUUAUUCCUAAAUAUUGGAGUGCCUGCAACAUUACCCCAAUACCCAUAUGGAAGAUGGAUCCCAUAAGAAUGCAGGGAGAAAGAUGGAUAAAAAGUAGUAGUUGGGGGAAUCCCCAUGUUAUUGAGUGAGAUACAUCUUCCCCUUUAUUUGAGGAAGGAUGAGAAAAAUAUUAGUGAUAAAAAAGAAAGUAUUAGAGAACUGAGCAAGAAAGAAGCAUAGUUAUCUCUAAUAUGAUAUUUUUAUGGGAUAGGGAGAAGUAUUGGGGAUUUGGGGUACUAUCGGAGACGUUGUUACAUUUUUGCCACAAACUGUUGUCUGAGAGUUGCCUGUAAAGUUUAGAAAAUUUGGAAAAAUGUGUUUGGUUGGAUGCCUAUGCCUGAGAACGCUAACUAAAGUAAAUUGAUUUUGUAUUAUCUAAAUAAGACCCGCAUACAUUAUUAUUGUUUGUAUAUUGAGAUAAAUUAUUUGUAUUAGCCUUUUUCUGAGUUCGUAAGAUUAAAAUAAUUAUUUUUCGUUAUAUUUAAUUAGAGUGAAGCAUGAGGAAUUAAAGUAACUAUAAUUAAUUAUUUUUUAUAAGUUGUCUUGUCAAGUCCGCAUAACCAUGUACUCUAAUUCAAGUAAAAAAACGAUAUAGGAUUUAGAAAUCGUUUAUGACAGUGACAUGGUCUUCAAAAUACAACUUUAAUCUCUUAUUUUUAUAAAAAUAUUUAGAAAAAAUGAUAUAUGUAUAUUUUUAUAAAAGUAUUUUUCAAAAAUAAAUCUAUUCAUAUAAUUUUCACAUUUACAAACUUAACAAUUUAAAAGUUAUUGGUAAUUUAUAUUCUCAAUAUUUGACUCAAACUUUAUCCAAAAGAGCUUCUAAAUCCUAGGAGGGAGUAGUUAAUUAAGAAAAGAGAGAUAAGACAGAACCGGUGCGAUUAGCAUACCAUAGCUAUUUCCAGGCAAGUGAGCUUUUACACCAGGCGCUGGAUAUCGUCCGCAUGGCUGGGCCAUUGUUGCCUGGAGCAGGCAAGGUGCAACUAAACGGUGUACAGGCAAAAACCAGGCAGCUGUUCAUCGAGGUAAUUGGAGUCCUAGUUUAGACUAUCUCCAAUAAUCAUCACUUAAAAUACAAGAUUCAUUUGUCCUUUGGAUAGCGCUAUAGGUAAAAGGUUUCAUACAUAAUUUUAGUCUUCUCCAACAACAAGAUCUAACCGUGUGUUUGGUUGGGGGUUGGGUGGGUUGGGUUGGAUCCAACACAGUUUUUAGGGACGGAGCCAACCCGUCCAGUGUUUGGUUGCACUUCUGAUUUUGGGGACGGAGCCAACCCAUUUUAGUGUUUGGUUGAAGAAUUGGGGACAGAGCGGCUCCGUUCAGUGUUUGGUUGAAGGAAUUUAGUGUUUGGUGGGAGCCAACCCAGCUGGAGCGGCUCCGUCCGCCAGAUUUUGACGGACGAGUCCAACCCGCAUCUGAGAGGAAUAUUCCACCCUGGAGCCAACCCAACCCUCUCAUCCUCCAACCAAACAGCCACAGGAAUGAGUUCGCUCCGACCCGGCUCGCCCCGCUCUCCAACCAAACACACGGUAAAAGACAACACUUUCUGCAAAUGGGUCUCGAGAAGAGAGGAUACCCAAAUUUAAAUUAUGUCUCUCCUAAUACUUAAAAUGAGUUUUCUGUAUGUGUACUUUAUUGAUACUAUAGGUAUUGUGUUGAAGACCCAUUUUAGGUUUGGGUUCCCAAAUAGGUCUUCUAUUUGAGACAAUCUUAGAAAAAAAAAGCCUAUCCCAGGUGUAUAGGAUGGAAAACACGUGAAAGAAUGAAAGCUAUCACCUAUUCUAGAUACAGAUAUGGUUCAGGUUACAGACCACCUUGCUAUUCCUCUAUUUCAAAUUAUAAGUCAUUUAAAGAAUCUUGGAAAGUCAAAACAUCUCUAGGUUUGAUCAAAAUUAUAGAGAGAAAUACUAAGAUUUGUAACAUAAAGUGAGUAUAUUAUGAAAAUAUAAGUAAGAAAGAAUCUAAUGAUACUUAGUUGAUAUCAUAAUAAUUAUUAUUUUAUCAUAUAAAUUUAGUUAAACUUUAGAUAUUUUUAUUCUCCAAAAUUCUUAAAAUAACUUAUAAUUUAGGAUGCAGGAAGUACAUCGGUAUAAACUAUGUUGUAAACUGUUGUUAAAGCUAAUUCUUCGUUGCAUGAAUCUAAGUCAAAACUUGCGAUGAUGCGGGAGCACAUGGCCAUGUACUCCCUCUAGUCCUCCUUUGAGCAGCAGCUGCAUCAGGCUUUCUCAAACACACUACGGUGGUAUGUUGUCUCGGUGUCCACCUCAGCUUCAGACUUCCAUAUCAUAGAAAAUUAGCCUCGCAGAGAGUCAUAUUGUCUUGCAAAGGAAACCAUUACCUCAUCUGACAAAAGUCAGAAGCAACAUCGGGAGCGCGGUGCGGUGGGAGUAAACUUUCUCAGGCUAGAAUAGAGUAGUGUGCUGAGUGUGGAUCUCGAAAGAGACAACACACAUACAACUUACAUUGAGAAUAAUCCUUCGGGUGUACGUGGAGGGUGACCUUUUCUCUAGGGCUAAUGCUGCUAUAUGCCCGCGUUGUUAUUGGCCUCACACGGCUCCGCACAUGCUUCAUCGUGUCAUUGUCGAGCCUGGCGUCAUGGAUUUUGGCCAUGUCUCCCGUGCGGGAGGGGUUCAUGAGAAUAAUGUGUUUUGUUUGGGUUGGACCUUGUUUAGCACUACUACACAAUAGGCCUUUAGUCACUUGUCCAAAAUGAACAAUAAUCUCGACCAAAACAGCGUCAGGGACAAAAACAUAUUUAGUCUCGGUUGGUGAGACCAACCGGGACUAAAAGUCCCCUACCCAACGGCUAUUGUGUCAGACAUCGGCGGAGGAGACUUUUAGUCCCGGUUGGUCUCACCAACCGGGACAAAAGCCUAGCCUUUAGUCCCGGUUGGUGGUACCAACCGGGAUUAAAAGCUGUUGUCCCGGUCCGUCCCACCGGCCGGGACUAGUGUUGGAAUUUAGACCCGGUUUUUAAAAGGACCGGGACUAAAUGUCCCUCCCCAUAUUUGAACUCUUCUUCCCGUGGCCGAGCCCAUCGAUCUUCACUCUUUUGCUCUGUUCUUCAUUUGGAGUUGCUUGUUCUUGCUCUCAUCUCCGGCUAUUGAUUCAUUUCAUUGUUUCUACACCGUCAUCGACUUGUUAAGAGGUCACUAGCUUCAUCUUCUCAACAUUUAGAAGCGGCAUAUGUCAUUUCCUAGUGUUAUGUAUAUUGUUUUUUUAUUUUAUGGUUUUUUUAAGAGGUUAUUAGCUUCAUCGCCAUUUCAAAAGCGACACGUUCUUUUAGAGAAAUAGUGGUAAUAUGUUUUUUUAUUUUAAUUAGUUUAGAAAAAAAAUAAAAACAUAUAAUACUUUAAUUUGCAAUUUUUGACCGAUUUAGUUAGUUAAUUAUAACUAGUAUGCAUACCACAUUUCAUGAUUAUUUAGGAAAAUAGAGAAUUUUUGUGCUUUUUUAAUAUUGCUUGUUUAGAUAAAUUAGAAAUAGAGAAUUUUAGGUUUUUUGUUACUUUAAUUUCUCUAUUAAAAAUUAGAAACUUAUAAUACUUUAAUUUGCACUUUAUGACAUGGUUAAUUAGUUAAUUAUAACUAGUAUGCAUGCCACAUUUCAUGAUUAGUUAGAAAAUAGAGAACUUUUAUGUCUUUUUAAUUUUGUUGGUUUAGAAAAACCAGAAAUAGAGAAUUUUAGGUUAUUUGUUACUUUAAUUUCUUUAUAAAAAAUUAGAAACUUAUAAUAUUUUACAUUGCAAUGCAGACAAUGACACGUCAUUGGAUGUACAAUGCCGAUCGCCGCUCCAAAGAAUUCAUUGAUGCUGUGCAUUAUUUCUUAAGAGUGGCCGAGGAAAACAAGGGGGAUGGAUUCAUACGUUGCCCAUGUGCCUUGUGUCAGAAUUUGAAGGAAUAUUCUAGCUCUAGAAAUAUUCACUCACAUUUGUUGAAGUCGGGUUUUAUACCAAACUAUAUUUGUUGGACCAAGCAUGGAGAAAACGGGAUAAUGAUGGAAGAAGGUGAAGAAGAACAGUUGGAGCCUGACGACAUUAUUGCUCAAUACGGUGACUUCGGUGAUACAGCAAUGGGAGAAGCUGAAGAUGAGGCAGGUGCAGAAGGUGCACCUGUUGAAGAUGAUGCUCUUGGUGAUGUCAUUCGUGAUGCACAAAAAGAUUGCGAAAGUGAAAAAGAGAAGACAAAGUUUGACCACAUGUUAGAAGAUCACAAGAAAUUACUAUACCCAUCUGCCCAGGAUGGGCAAAAAAAACUGGGUACAACACUAGAAUUGUUAAAAUGGAAGGCACAGAAUGGUGUAUCCGAUAAGGCAUUUGGGCAAUUACUGAAGAUCCAAAAAAAAUGCUGCCGAAGCCUAAUGAACUGCCCACUACUACGUACGAAGCAAAACAGAUCGUCUGUCCUUUGGGAUUAGAAAUCAAGAAGAUACAUGCAUGUCCUAACGACUGCAUCCUAUACCGUGGCAAGGACUACGAGAAUUUAGAUGAAUGCCCCAUAUAUAAAGCAUCACGGUAUAAGAUUAGGCGAGAUGACCCUGGCGAUGUUGAGUGGGAAGAACGUCCUAGAAAAAAAAUCCCUGCAAAGGUUAUGUGGUAUGCUCCUAUAAUACCACGUCUGAAACGUCUUUUUAGAAAUAAGGACCAUGCAAAAUUGUUGCGGUGGCACAAAGAAGACCAUAAAGUAGACAACAUGUUGAGACACCCUACUGAUGGGUCCCAGUGGAGAGCAAUAGACAGGGAAUUUCCAAAGUUUGCAAAAGACGCAAGAAACUUAAGGUUCGCUUUAAGUACGGACGGUAUGAAUCCUUUUGGUGAGCAAAGCAGUAGUCAUAGCACUUGGCCUGUUACACUAUGUAUCUACAACCUUCCUCUAUGGUUAUGCAUGAAGCGAAAGUUCAUUAUGAUGCCGGUGCUCAUCCAAGGCCCGAAGCAACCGGGCAAUGACAUUGAUGUCUAUCUAAGGCCAUUAAUUGAAGAACUCCUUCUUUUAUGGAGUGAAACAGGUGUUCGUGUGGCGGAUGAGUACAAACAGGAACACUUCGACCUACGAGCACUGUUGUUUGUGACAAUCAAUGAUUGGCCUGCUCUAAGUAAUCUUUCAGGGCAGACAAACAAGGGAUAUAAUGCAUGCACACGUUGUUUUGAUGACCUUGAUAGUAUAUAUUUGAAAAAAUGCAGAAAGGUCGUGUACCUUGGGUAUCGUCGAUUUCUUUCUAUGAAUCACCCAGUUAGAAAGAAAGGAAAGCAUUUUAAAGGUAAGGCAGACCACCGAUGCAAGCCUCGCAACAGAACUGGAGAUGUAUUUGAGAUGGUUAAGGAUGUGAAAGUAGUUUUUGGUAAGGGACAAGGCAGCCAACCAGUUCCAAAAGAUGCAGCGGGUCAUGCACCCAUGUGGAAGAAGAAGUCAAUAUUUUGGGAGUUACCCUAUUGGCAAGUCCUAGAGGUCCAGAAUGCGAUCGACGUCAUGCACCUAACAAAGAAUCUUUGUGUGAACCUUCUAGGAUUCAUGGGUGUAUAUGGUAAGCCUAAGGAUUCACUUGAAGCACGACAAGACUUGCAACGCACGGAAGAACGAGACAACCUGCAUCCAGAGAAGACAGAUGAUGGACGCCAAUAUUUAAGACCUGCUAGCUACACUCUUAGCAAUGAAGAGAAAGAAAUCAUGUUUGAAUGCUUAAGCAGCAUCAAGGUCCCAUCUGGAUUCUCCUCUAAUAUAAAAGGUAUAAUUAAUGUGCCUGAGAAGAAAUUUUUGAACUUAAAGUCGCAUGACUGCCAUGUGCUUAUGACGCAAUUGCUUCCAGUUGCAUUAAGAGGAAUUCUACCUCCACAUGUACGUCUGGCCACCGUAAAGCUAUGUGCAUUCCUCAAUGCAAUUUCUCAGAAGGCAAUCAAUCCACUGGAACUAGCUGCUCUACAGAAUGAUGUGGUUCAAUGUCUUGUCAGCUUUGAGUUAGUGUUCCCUCCAUCCUUCUUUGAUAUCAUGACACACCUCCUAGUUCAUCUGGUCAAGGAGAUCAAUAUUCUAGGUCCUGUGUUCCUACAUAAUAUGUUUCCCUUUGAGAGGUUUAUGGGAGUUCUGAAGAAAUAUGUUCACCAACGUGCUCGGCCAGAAGGAAGCAUCACCGAGGGCUAUGGGACAGAGGAGGUCAUUGAGUUCUGUGUUGAAUUCAUUCCUGAACUUGACCCAAUUGGUGUUCCUGAAUCGCGCCACGAGGGGAGACUGAGUGGAAAGGGAACACUAGGAAAGAAAACAUACAUCGGUACGGGGGACGAUUCUUUCAAUAAAGCACCCUACACAGUUCUUCAAAACUCAUCCGUGGUGGAGCCGUAUGUCACGAAACACAAGGACUUCCUACGAUCGCAAUUCCCAGAGNNNNNNNNNNNNNNNNNNNNNNNNNNNNNNNNNNNNNNNNNNNNNNNNNNNNNNNNNNNNNNNNNNNNNNNNNNNNNNNNNNNNNNNNNNNNNNNNNNNNNNNNNNNNNNNNNNNNNNNNNNNNNNNNNNNNNNNNNNNNNNNNNNNNNNNNNNNNNNNNNNNNNNNNNNNNNNNNNNNNNNNNNNNNNNNNNNNNNNNNNNNNNNNNNNNNNNNNNNNNNNNNNNNNNNNNNNNNNNNNNNNNNNNNNNNNNNNNNNNNNNNNNNNNNNNNNNNNNNNNNNNNNNNNNNNNNNNNNNNNNNNNNNNNNNNNNNNNNNNNNNNNNNNNNNNNNNNNNNNNNNNNNNNNNNNNNNNNNNNNNNNNNNNNNNNNNNNNNNNNNNNNNNNNNNNNNNNNNNNNNNNNNNNNNNNNNNNNNNCAGAUAUUUCAAAAGAUUAUGAAAGGGAUGACCGAAUCACGCUUUUCAAUGUGACCAAAGAUCCGAGCAUACUGAUAAAUGCUGAGGACACUCCAUGGUUACGUCAAGAUCAUGACCAAGGAACAUACGUCAAAAAGAAGAUCACUAUUGUGCCCGCCUAAUAAAUAGAUUGCAAUAUAGUAUGUGUAUGUGACAUUUGUAACUUAAGAUGUUUAUAUUAGUUUUUCUUAUUUUAUAUCAUUUCAAAUAAUGAAAUGACAUUUAAGUUUGCUAUAUGAAACUACAUGUGUCAAUUGUGGAUUUUGAACUACACCUUCGCAACACUUUGUCAAAUGCAAAAAAUGGUCUAUAUAUUAAAUGUAGAUUUUGAUGAGUGGAACAAUAUUGGUAUUCAUGACUUUUCCGUUCGAGACCAUCUAGGGUUCCGAAAACCAAUGCGUGGCUAUGAAUUCUAUCAAAAUUCAAAAUUGAGUGGUUCAAACUUUUCCAAAAGAAAAGUUGACCAUUAGACAAAAUGUAGAACUUGAUGAGUGCAACAAACUUUGUAUUCAUUACUUUUCCAUUUGGGACCAUAUAGGGUUCGGUCAAAGUGUGUGUUUCUAAAAACCAAUGCUUUGACUUUGGUCAAACUUGGUCAAAUGACCCAUUUGAUGACUUGAAAUGAAAAAAAUUUGAAUACAAAGUUGUUAGAGAUCAUCAAGAUCUACAUUUGAUAUAUUGUCUAUUUUUCCAUUUGGAUAAAUUUGACGGUAUUGGUCAAACUUGGUCAAAUGACAAACUAAAUUACUUAAAAUGAAACAAUUUUGAAUACCAAGUUGUUAGAUAUCAUCAAGAUCUAAACUUUUUAUAUAGAUAAUAGAUCUAAACUUUUUAUAUAGAUAAUUUUUCCAUUUGAGAAAGUUUAAGUUCACAAUACCCACCAAUUCUUGAAUCUCACACAAACUAUAUGAAACUACAUGUGUCAAUUGUGGAUUUUGAACUACACCUUCGCAACACUUUGUCAAAUGCAAAAAUAGUCUAUAUAUUAAAUGUAGAUUUUGAUGAGUGGAACAAUAUUGGUAUUAAUGACUUUUCCAUUCGAGACCAUCUAGGGUUCCGAAAACCAAUGCGUGGCUAUGAAUUCUAUCUAAAUUCAAAAUUGAGUGGUUCAAACUUUUCCAAAAGAAAAGUUGACCAUUAGACAAAAUAUAGAACUUGAUGAGUGCAACAAACUUUGUAUUCAUUACUUUUCCAUUUGGGACCAUAUAGGGUUCGGUCAAAGUGUGUGUUUCUAAAAACCAAUGCUUUGACUUUGGUCAAACUUGGUCAAAUGACCCAUUUGAUGACUUGAAAUGAAAAAAAUUUGAAUACAAAGUUGUUAGAGAUAAUCUGAUGUAAUGGUGAAUAUUGUUGUAAGCAUAAAUAAAUAAGAAAUAGAGAAAAAUUUUAAAAAAAUAAUUCGAUGUAAUGGUGAAUAUCACGUAUAUCAUGAUUUUGGAGAUAAAUGAUGAUAAAUAAACAAAAUUUACAUUUAAAUAUUGCACAAACAAAUUUUUCUAUCAAAAACAUCUGCUUUAAGAUAUUAAAAUUAAAUAAUACAUUUUUGCAUUAACAAAAUACUAAUUAUUUUUCAUAUUUAAGUUUGUUAAUUGUCGAGGGUAUCAGUAAGGGGUAUCCUCACUAAUGCACAUAACAAGAUUACCCGUAUGCAGGUCGAGGCCCUCAACUCGACCCUAAACCCUAAACCCUAAACCCCUACCUGGCGCGCCAACUGUCGGUGUUUUCCCACGGGGGUCACACCAACGAGUAAAUUUGUAUGCGUGCUCCCUUUCCCAAAUGGUGAUGCAAGAAUACACAAAGAUUUAUCCUGGUUCGGGCAAGAGAAGGCCCUACGUCCAGCGGGGGAGGGAAGUUUGUAUUAUCUUGCACCUAAGUGCUUGUACAGGGGUGGAUACAAGCGUGGUAUGGAAUGGAGUAUGGGAGUUCUACUGAGUAUGGUGUAGUGUUGCGCGUGUGUUAUCUAUUCCCGGGUCCUUCCUUUUAUAGCACCAAGGAGAGACCGAGGGUACAUGCGUAGGUAUCAGAGUAGGGGUCGAUAGAAGCAUGGCGCGCUGACCUACUCGAGGCCUCCGUACCGGCGUAGUCUCGAGCCGUCCCGUCUCGGUAGCUUGAUGAUGAUUACGCGUGCUCCUGUAUCCUGCUCUGCGCGCCGUCUUGGGCUGGUUCACCGAUCGCACGCUUGUACGGUAUGGCGGCAGAUCUGGCGGAGUGGUUGCGGUGUUGUCAGUCGACGCCCAAUUCGUCUCCAAGAAGGAACCAUGUCUGGUCGAGGGUCGGACGCCGUGCAAUCCCCUGAUAUCCGGAGCGCUGACCUUGGUUGUCUCGAGGAGGUCCUGAUUAGACGUUCCAUUCCUGUUUCCCACGUCCUGACACGCCCUGGGUUGUUUGGUGGGGAAGGCUGCAAAAAGUACGACGGGACAGGUGCCUGUUCCCUAUCACGCUUCCCGUGAUCAGCGCGUUAGGUGGGAAAGCGACAGGCGCAUUAAAUGCCCUGGCUCUCGUGCGUGCGUCAGGCGACGGGCGGCGUCCUUGCGCUCGACGCCUCCUGGUUCGCGCGAGCCCGUUUCCGUAUUCGACGGUAGCUGGUGCUCGACCCCUGAUCGAUUCGCUCGAUGCCAUUUCCGUCUUUGAGGCUGCGGUCGUCGACGACCGCGCAUAUGUAUGACCAGAGCGUCGAGUUGAGGGCCUCGACCUGCAUACGGGUAAUCUUGUUAUGUGCAUUAGUGAGGAUACCCCUUACUGAUACCCUCGACAUUAAUAUAAGUGAUGAAAAGAUUUUAUGUUUCCAAAUUUAUUAUGUAACCAAUUAGACAAAAAGAAAUGGAACUAUUAUUUUUUAACAAAUUAAUACCUAUUAUUCUAUUUACUAUGCAAUGAAAAACAUUAAUCUAAUUAUUGUAUGCAUAAAUAAAUAAGAAACUGAAAAAUACAUUUAGUCCCGGUUUCUGGCUAGAACUGGGACCAAAGGUUGUAUUUAGUCCCGGUUCUAGCUAGGAACCGGGACUAAAGGGUGGACCUUUAGUCCCGGUGCGUAGCACCAACCGGGACUAAAGACCCUUUAGUCCCGGUUGGUGUUAGUGUUACGCACCGGGACUAAAGGUCUCCGCGUGUAUAUAAGAAAACUGUCGUCUUCAUCCUCCAGAUCGACGUUGCCCUAGCCUUCUUCACCGCUGCCGCUCCCCGCGCUGCCUCCACAUCCUGCCCGAGCCACCGCUGCCUCCUUCUUCUCCGGCGUAGAGACUCUCCCGGACGAGCGCCGCCGCCGCUUCCUCGCCUCCGGACAUCGUCGCGCCGCCUCCUCGUCAUCCCCGAGCCGUACGUCGUCGUCGCGCCCCUGUGCGGCCUUCGAGCUUCUCCGGCGCCGCCUCCUCGCCCUCAUCGCCCCCGCGGCCACCUCCUCGCCCUCGUCAGAGCGCCUCCGACCGUCGCUCUCCUCCCCGGCCAGAGAACGCUCGCGCCGCCGUCGUCGAGGAUGAGCACGUUUAGUGAAUUUUAUUUGAAUGAAUGAGGCGGCGCCGGAGAAGAAUCCGUUCCCAAACGAUUUUAGUGAAUUUUAUGAAUGAGAUGAUUUUAGUGAAUUGUAUGAAUGAGAUGAUUUUAGCGAAUUGUAUGAAUGAGAUGAUUUUAGUGAAUUUUAUUUUUGAAUGAAAAGAAUCGGUUCCCAAACGCAUGAUAAAAAUCAUUUUAGUGAAUUUUAUUUGAAUCAAAACUAUAAUUUAAACUAUGAAUCUGUUGUGGCCCAAAUGCAUGAUAAAAAUCAUUUUAGUGAAUUUUAUUUGAAUCAAAACUAUGAAUCGGUUCCCAAACGCAUGCCCACGAGAAAUACGUACCUCUCGCCAAAAUAUACUCCUACAUCUAUACUUGUUGCACUCCGAUCGACGAAACACAUGCGCUCACGAAAUGUACACUUUUUAAAAAUCAAACAAUUCAAAAUAUUUAUGACAUUUCUAUAAAAGAUAUAAAUAUUAUUAGAUUAAUUAUUUAUAUAUUUUUAUACUAUAAAUUUACUUGAGACAUAACCUUGUUGUGUAUAGUUGAACUUGAAUAUAGAAAGCACAAGUUACUUUAAUUUAAAUAAAAAUUGUAAUUUAUCCUGUGUUGUAAUUAGUUAGUAGGGAUAGAUAUUGAGAUGAGAUGUAUAAUUUCUAUUUUAUAAAAUAUUUUUUGUAUUAUAUAAUUUAUAUGUUAUAAUUUAUCCAGUGUUGUAAUUAGUUAGUAGGGAUAGAUAUUGAGAUGAGAUGUAUAAUUUCUAUUUUAUAAUUUAUCUUUUGUAUUAUAUAAUUUAUAUGAUAUAAUUUAUUCUGUGUUGUAAUUAGUUAGUAGGGAUAGAUAUUGAGAUGAGAUGUAUAAUUUCUAUUUUAUAAUUUAUAUUUUGUAUUAUAUAAUUUAUAUGAUAUAAUUUAUCAUGUGUUGUAAUUAGUUAGUAGGGAUAGAUAUUGAGAUGAGAUGUAUAAUUUCUAUUUUAUAAUUUAUCUUUUGUAUUAUAUAAUUUAUAUGAUAUAAUUUAUCCUGUGUUGUAAUUAGUUAGUAGGGAUAGAUAUUGAGAUGAGAUGUAUAAUUUCUAUUUUAUAAUUUAUCUUUUGUAUUAUAUAGUUUAUAUGAUAUAAUUUAUCCUAUGUUGUAAUUAGUUAGUAGGGAUAGAUAUUGAGAUGAGAUGUAUAAUUUCUAUUUUAUAAUUUAUCUUUUGUAUUAUAUAAUUUAUAUGAUAUAAUUUAUCAUGUGUUGUAAUUAGUUAGUGGAGAUAGAUAUUGAGAUGAGAUGUAUAAUUUCUAUUUUGUAUUAUAUAAUUUAUAUGAUAUAAUUUAUCAUGUGUUGUAAUUAGUUAGUAGGGAUGGAUAUUGAGAUGAGAUGUAUAAUUUCUAUUUUAUAAUUUAUCUUUUGUAUUAUAUAAUUUAUAUGAUAUAAUUUAUCAUGUGUUGUAAUUAGUUAGUAGGGAUAGAUAUUGAGAUGAGAUGUAUAAUUUCUAUUUUAUAAUUUAUCUUAGUUGUUGUAUCGAAUAUUGUCUAAGUUUAGCCUAUCUAAAUAAUUUUUGUUGAUCGCGUCAAAAACUUUUAACACUUGAUUAAAUUUGCAGAAAUGGCCAAUCCGAAUGACAACAUGGAUGAUGCAAUGAUGGACCUACUCAACAGCGGUGCCAAUCCAGAUCCCCAAGGCGAAGAUGAUGGGAGUCAGUACUUUGCUGAUUAUGAAGAAUUUGUGGGAGACAAUCCUGAUCAGGUCUAUCUACAAUCUAGUAUAUAUGUAUAUAUAUGAAAUUAAAAUAAAUGACAUUUAUACUAAUAUAUUUAUACUUGUUUGUGUAGCCCUCUAAAUCGGCGACAACUUAUGAGAGAGUAGAAAAGUGCGCGGUCCGAAGAAGCCGUUGGAGGGUCGGUACAUUCUGUCGGAAUUCGAUGAGGGUACAGGACAAGUACUUGGAGCUAAUUCUAAAAAAUUUGUUGCGCACUGUGGCUACCUUGUAAGGGACAGGCUCCCGGUCAGUGCUCGUGAAUGGAGGCAACGGAAAGAUAACCCUAAUAUUAGUUUUGUCUCAGAUCGUGACAAGGAAUUGAUUUGGCAAGAUAUCCUUCAACAUUUCACGCUCGAUACACAGGAUGAAGCUUUGAAGGAGAAGGUUAAAAUCUGGGCUAUGCAGAAGAUGGCCAAACAAUUUCAGGCUUGGAGGAAGACAUUAUACAAGACUUUUGUUGCACAAGGCCGGACACCAGAUUUCACCAACAAGGCCUACGUCAAGUUGAGGCCUUUUUGGGAUGAGUUCGUAGAGUUUAAGAACUCAGAAGAGGGUCAGGCACGGAUGAUCAAGAAUCAAGAAAAUGCUAAACAAAAGCAAUACCACCAUCACUUGGGUUCAGGUGGCUACAGAACUGCUAUUCCUAAGUGGCAAAAGCUGGAACAGGAGAUUCUUGGGAGAGGGAUCGAACCAGAAUCAAUGCACUGGCCCGAGCGCGCCAAGUAUUGGUUCUUUGGUCAUGGGGGAACCAUAGACCUAGAGACCGGAAAGAUAGUGUACGGCGAAAAGCUCGAGAGAGUAGGACAGAGAAUGGCCUAUGCUAGAGGAUUAGUUGAAAGCGGCACCUGGCAGCCAAAUAGAGAAAAGGAUGAGCUGACAUACGCCCUGGAGACUGCUGAACACGGUGGGCGAACCAGAGGCUAUGGGGAGAUAUCAUGGGAGCAUGGCUUCCCUAAAGAUAGACCGACUUAUAGAAGCCGCCAACGAAAGAAGAAAGAGGAAGCAGAGCGGUUGCAUAGGUUGGAGGCAAUGGUGAUUGAGUCACGCGAAGCGGAUCGUAAAGCGAUAGCGCAAGAGAAAGCGCUUGAAGAGAGAAUGAACGAGGAGAUCAAAACACAAGUGCAGAUUACAGUAAGUUCUAUACAAGGGCAAACUGCAUCAGAGCCUAGAGUCAACAUUAGCCCCCCCCCCCCGGUCAGUUGAAAAGUAGUUGCGCUUCCACAGAGAUGCCAACUAUUCAAGACGACGUGGGGCUGCACUUUCCGGGGGAUGACAUCACUGAACCUCUGACAACAUGUGAGCUGCACAUUCCACAGGGGACUGCCACAGUCAUGGUUGCUGUCGCUGUUGUAACUCCUGUCGACCCUACGAGGACACCAAGAAUCCAUGGGGCGAUAGUUCCACCUGGAUAUGCUAGUGUCUCGGUGGAUAGAGUUGUCAAAGGCUUCAGUAAUGUGCAGCUUGAGAUAGAAGGAGGUGAUGGAGAGAAGACUCUAGGAGAAGCAGAGAAGACUUUUAUUUGUUGGCGCAAGCGCUACAUCAUUAUUCCUGGGGCAUCACCUAGUAGUCUACCACCACCUCCUUGUCAUGAAUCUAAUCCUAGGUGCGGAUGAAAAUUGACAAUACAUUUGUUCACUAAAUUUAUUUUGCAUUCUCUUAGUUAGCGGUUUACUCAUAUACCUUUUGUUUUCACAGGUGGUCACCGACAUGUCAUAGUGCUGCGGGUGAUGACGAGGGAGUGCAAGACACGGCUGCAUCGCCUCGAUCUCCAACGCCACCACCUAGGGCUCUAACACCGCCACCUCGGGCUCCAACACCGCCACCUCAGGCACCAACACCGCCACCUAGGGCUCCAACGCCACCUAGGGCUCCAACACCGCCUCCUCGGGCUCCAACACCGCCACCGGCCGCCCCAUCGCCUCCACACGUGGCUCCAGCACGAAAGAAGAGGCCGGCCACACAAUCAAAUGUGUCGGCCGCCCCGCCGCAAAAAAGAAAGCCUCCGAAAAGAAACAAGCUAUCAUUCCUAAGAAGCUGUCCAAUGAGAAGACUGAUGCAGAACUAAAUGCUUCAGUAAAAUCAGACGUGGAUAGUUUCUUCAAGAAACUUAAGACUGAAAGAGAAGCCAAGCGAAACCUUGAGAAGCCGUACCUCUUACUACGGCCAUAAGAUCUACGACAAAGGGUUGAGGUUGAACAAAAAAAGAGACAUGAAGCUCAGAAAGAAUCAUCAUCUUUAUCGGACUAUGAUCGCACUUUAAGAAAAUCCCUAGAAGAAGAGAAUAAGAAAGAGAAAAGAGCACGCAAGGGUGUAGCACAGCUCGGGGAACAAUCAAAGCAAUCAGUGCCCCCGCUAGUCAUUGGAAAUGAAUAUGGUUCAAACAUUGACGUGCUAGACCAGCAGAUACCGGCAGAUUUAAAAUUUGAAGAGCUUGAAAAUUUUUUGCGGAAACUGGUCUUAGCUUAGCCCAAAUGAUAGCAGGGGCAUCAAUUGAAAGUGCUCCACAAAUUGAUCAUUGGCAGAAGGAAUAUACAUAUGACAAGAGUUUAUACAACCCUGCGGCCCUCAACAAGCUUGGAACGCAAAUGUACAUGCUAAACAAAUGGUACAUGGAAGCGUGUGUCAGAAAAGCAGAUGACUAUAUUUGUGUCCGAAUUAGAAACUAUCAUUACUUCCAUGGUGAUGAUAUUAUUUAUGUUCAAUUGAAUGAGCUACACCAACUAUGCCACAUGGACGCUCGACAAAUCUCUAAUGAGUUGCUUCUGUCUGUAAAUGAUUCUUCCUUUCAAUAAUGUCUCUGUAACUUAUCAUGUAUAUAUAUAACUAAUUACAGAAACCCGUUAUACAUAUGCAGAAACAUGAUGAGGGACCUUAGAGUUAGAAAUGACAAGGAGAUUGGAUUUGUGGAUCCAAAUGUUGUAUUCAAAGACCACAAGACCCCGUAUGUUUUAUGGAGAACUCAAACGGAGAGAAAUCUACGGAGGUUCUUGAUCAACCAAAAAGAUAAAAGAUAUAUACUCUUUCCCUACAACUUUAAGUAAGUGUCGUUAUCGUGUGUACAUUCUAUUUAACUAAUUAAUCAGAUCAAUAUGAAGAUAUAUACUAAUUUUGCCUACAUAUGCACACAAAUGCAGCUUUCAUUGGAUACUAGUUGUCAUUGAUCUCUGGCAAUGUCAAUUGGUAAUCUAUGACUCAUUGAGAAAACUACAUGAUGAUUACUGUUGAUAUUUGGGAACGCAAUAAGGAAUUGAUCCGCAAGCGCACGGAUAUCGGUGAGCACUUCACCCGGGAAAUUAUCCAGAGUAUCGUAUUUAUUUUUUUUACCACUAGGAGAAAGAGUGCAUCUGACUAACCGGUCUAUUACUACUAACCUUUAGGCACAAAGAAUGUCUUUCGAUGUGAGUGAUAAAUAGAUAAGACUGCAACCGUAGUCUCCUUCUAACCUUGGUAAGGAUGAUCUACUGUUCUAAUGGGGAGGCUAACGUAAUCUAGACACCACAAAGGAUGUUCAACCCGCACCUAUAAACCCUAUCCUUCCUGCUAACGAGAUGUGAUCUACAAAGGUAGCUCGGAAUUGUCACGUUCCUCACUACUACCACGGUCCAGCUAGUCAGGGAAUAUCUAUGAGUACCCCAGCCUAAACACCACGUUUACGCCAGCAAUGAUUACUCUAAACUCUACGCGAAGAGAUUAAAGUUAACUCAUAUACCAUAAGAACAAUAAAACAAGAACUUACUAGAAUUUAGAAGUCGAAUUACUGAAGAAUCCUAGGAGCAAGAUUCGGGUUAGGAGAACUUGAUCCCGCAGGUACAAGCUUGGAGUAGACACCGACAGGCCGGGCUUCCUCCAAUCUAUACCUCCACUCUAUCUCUCUCAAUCUAGUAGAAACUAGAAGAUCUAUUUCUACCUUACAUUGAUUGCUAAGCCUAAAAAGAAAUAUUAAUUAGAGAAGAGGUUUUCCUUCGAGGGCACCCCUCAGUCUCUAUGAUAAUUUCUUCAUGUCUUCUCCAGGGGCCAGGGGGGUCUCCUUAUAUAGUCCUCCUCUUCUAUGCGUUUUUGGGUCGAUAGGCGAGGUGGUACUAUGUUUUUCUUGAUCCAAUAGGUCGGUGGAAUAUUCCGAGCGAAGAGAGUCCUGAUUGGCAUCCAGAGGGGGGCGGGCGCCCAGGUCACCAGGGCGGGCGCCCUGGGCCUGGCCCCUUUCGGCCUCCGUCUUCUUCCCGUGGCUUCUGGAGUCUUCUAGAUGGUGGAAAAUCGUGCGGUGCGUUGAUAUCUCUAUGUAAUCCCGACAUGUGGGCCUUUCUUCCUUAUUUCCUGAUAACCCCCUGCAGAAAUAGAUAAACAACAAAACUCGUGGAAUUCUGUCAGAUCAAACCCUAAUUCUAGGUGUUAGUUGCAUAUUGGUCCUUUCUCUUGUUUAUUUGAUAAUUAAAAUUGAUACUUAAGAACCGUCAACAAUUACCAAGAAAUGAUAGAUAUUAUCCAAGGGUAACUCCGAUCUCUAUAUAUUAAAUUCUGCUCUUUUAACUUGGUAAUGGAUAAUUAAUAAUGAUCGUUUUAUUGCUAGGGUUUGGGCUGGGUUCGUGCAGAAACACCGUCCAGAGUUGAAUGCAGCACUUUCAAAGCCAAUCUUACUUCAGUAGGUUCUACGACAGACACUGGGCAACAAUUUGUGUGGCUACUAUGUGUGCGAGUUUAUGACGGUGUAUGCCAAAAGAACUAAUCUUGAGCACCUAAAAGUAUGUAACAUGUAUAUAUAAUAAGUUUAUUUCAUUUAUUUGUUGCUAUUUAAUAAAUCCUAUUCAUACCUCUAACUUUUUUCUUUAAUGUCUAUUAAAGGAGAUGUGGCUGAAGGAGCAGGUGUUGGAUGCGGUGCACCUAAAAGGAAUUCAGGAGACAAUCACAGGAUUUCUUAACGACCAAGUCCUGGAUUCCGGCGGCGAGUGCUACUUCAACCCUCAGGAGCAGAUGAAACCAAAUAACGAUGAUCAUUUGUACGAUGCUUGAGUGGUGGAGAUAAAUUGUGUUGUAAAUACUUUGUCCGUGAAGCAUAUGUGUAAAUAUUUUAUUAUGGACCUAUAGAUACAUAUUAUUUUUAUAUAUAUAGUGUUUUAUAGUAUAUUUAUAUGUAAUCAUUUAAAUUAUAUAAAUUAUAGGUGCGCGUUCCAUAAACUACCAGCAAACAAUACGCAUUCGAAAAUAACAAUAACAUAAUUGUAAACCCUAAAUGGAAAACCAAAUGAAAAGAAAAAGAAAAAAGAAAAAAGACUUUAGUCCCGGUUGGUAGCAACAACCGGGACUAAAAGUGGAGGCCAGGUGGCACACCCUGGCGCACCUUUUAGUCCCGGUUGCUGUUACCAACCGGGACUAAAGGUGGACCUUUAGUCCCGGUCUACGGAAUCGGGACUAAAGGUGGGACAUUUAGUCUCGAAACCUUAGCUCCGGUUUCCGUAGCCGGGACUAAAGGCGCUUACGGCCCGGGGCUAAAGCCCUUCCCUGUACUAGUGUAGUUGGGGAGUGAAAAGUUUUUAAGUGUCAUAUUGGAUGUUUUAUAAGAUGUUGGAAGAAGUAUUUAGAUACUAAAAAAACUAAUUACAUAGCUCACUUGAAAACUGCGAGACGAAUUUAUUAAAUCUAAUUAAUUCAUCAUUAGCACAUAUAAGUUAUUGUAGGACUAAUUAGGCUUAAAAGAUCCGUCUCGCGAUUUACAAUCAAAUUGUUCAAUUAGUUUUUGUUUUUGUAUACAUUUAAUGCUUCAUGCAUGUGUCCCAAGAUUCGAUGUGAUGGAUAAAAUUUUUUUGAAUGGAAACUAAGGCCUUGUUUAGAUCUAUUUUUUUACAUUGUAGCACUUUCGUUUUUAUUUGACAAGCAUUAUUCAAUCAUGGAGUAAUUAGGCUUAGAAGAUUCGUCUCGCGAUUUACAAGCAAAUUAUACAAAUUAAUUUUUGUUUUCAUCUAUAUUUCAUGCUUCAUGUAUGUGCCAUAAAAUUUGAUGUGAAUGAGAAUUUUAAAAAAUUUUUAGUCUUUAGAGUGAACUAAACAAGGGCUAAACAAGCCUUGGUUGGUUGGAAGCGAAGCUAGAAAUGGACGAUGCCAGGUGGUUGGUGUGGGUGGCGUUGGGGGCACACUGGUGGUCUCGUGAGCGUCCUCGCGAGACUUGCGAAGGUGAGCAUCUGCCAAAAUCUGCUUCAUGCCUUAUGUUAGGUGCAGGGUUAUUUUGGUCUUUUCUUGCUGCCUGGGUAAAAAUAAGAAUAUAUUAAAAUAAGGUCUUGUUUCCUCUCGGGAUUCGGCGCUUUUAAGAAGAUUAAGUGUAUAUUUUCUAUUGCGCCGGUGGGAAAUUUGGAGAAAUCGCGGGAUCGGACGCAGUGCGUGGAGGCACCGAACGCUGGCCUGAGCGUCCGGUGUGCUGUCAGUGCUUGGCCCUAUUAGUGUUGAGCACCGGACGCACUGCAGCAGACGCAGAGUGUUUUCUGUUCAUGCGUCCGGUGUGGCCUGACUUAAGCAAAGGUUGUUUGUCAGAGAGCACCGGACGCUCUGAGUGCGUCCGGUGGUGUGCGUCUGGUGUGAGGGAGUUUUGUAACCCUCUCUGCGCACGAGUCCGGUGAGCACCGGAGCGUCCGGUGCUCAGAGUCCGGUGAGAUCUGAGUUUUUACAAACUCUCUACGCACGAGUCUGGUGCUCACUUGGUCGCGUCCGGUAGUCCACAGGUGACCGUUAGAGUCUGACGCGCGAGAUUCAAAGGAGGACACGUGGCCAAUCUCAGAGCACCGGACGCAGGGGGUCGAGCGUCCGAUGAUCACUUGGUAGCGUCCGGUGCCCCCGAUUUCAGCCCAGUGAAAAAGUCAACGACUCUAUUUGUUGAGGGGGCUUAUAAAUAGAAGGUGGCCGGCUUUGGGAGGCUAACUCUUGCACAUUUGAAUACUUAAGGCAUACUUUGAGCUAAAGAACACUCCCUCCACUCAUCUCCUUUCUUAAUUGCUAAUCUUUGUGAGAUUGAGUGAGAUUCAAGUACUUUGCUUUGAGAGUUGCAUCUAGUGGCACUUGAUUCUUGACUUUGUUGCGGAUUUCUUGUUACUCUCGGGUGUUUUCCGAUGCCCUAGAUGGCUUGGAGCAGCGGUGGUGUUGAGCUCGUGAUUGGAGAUUGUUUCGAGCCUCACCAAGUGUUCUGUGAGGGGUUCUUGAGCCUUCCCCGCGGGAGAUCGCAAUUGGCUACUCUAAUAGAUUGCUAGUGGCUUGUAAGAUCCUCAUCUUGUGAGUGGAUGUGCGGCACCCACUGAGGGUUUGGCUUUGGAUUGCCAAUUAGCUCGUGAUCCAUCAAGUGGGUGUAUCGCCACAACGAGGACUAGCUUGCCGGGAAGCAAGUGAACCUCGGUAAAAAAUCUUGUGUCAUCUCUUGCCGAGGAUUCUCUUGUGAUUGUGAGUGAUUGGUUGGAUAUAUCUCUACUCUACAACGUUGGUUUAACAAUCACUCUCAACUCCUUUACUUACUUGUAUACCUUGCUGCUAGUUGUUUAGUUUAGUCUUCUUGUUUAGGAGUGAAAUUAGCUCUCUCGUGUUGUUGUGUUUUAGUGUUUAGCCUUGUACUAGUUUGUAUAGGUGGCUUGCAUAGCUUAGUUGAGCUAGUGCUAGAAUUGCUUCGCCAUUUGUUUAACUAACUCACUUGCUUAGUGAAGUUUGUAGAAUUAUUCAUCUCCCUCUAGCUAUUUGGACCUUUCACAUAUAGACUUUACUUGGCAUAGCUCAACUUCACUACUGAAGUUAUUUCUUGUAGAAAAGAGUUUUAUGAACAACUGUUUAAAUAAAGUCGAGCUGUUUUGAAAAAGCUACUCCCUCCAUCCCAAAUUGUAAGUCAUUCCAAGAAUCUUGGAGAGUCAAACUUUUCUAAAUUUGAUCAAAUUUAUAUUAUAAAAUAAUAAUUAUUAUGAUACUAAUUAAGUAUCAUUAGAUUCUUUCUUAAUUAUAUGUUCAUAGUAUAUUCACUUUACGUUACAAAUCUUAAUAUUUUUCUCUAUAAUUUUGGUCAAACAUUAAAAUGCUUUGACUCUCCAAGAUUCUUGGAAUGACUUACAAUUUGGGAUGGAGGGAGUAUUUGGCAAACAGCUUCGCUAGCAAUUUCAUGCAUAGAUAAAAGAAAAAAAAUGAGAGAUAGCUAGAAUAAGCUAUUUUUCGAGCGUUAUCUAAACUCAUGUCUUUGUAAGUAAAAAACAUUACUGCACCUAUAAAGCUGUUUUGAAAAAUAGUAUUCGGAUAAAUUACUAUAAUCCAAAAAUCACCGUAUUGCUGCAUUCUAAAUUUGCAAUAUUAAUUUAUUUUAAAAACAAAAUCACAUUUUAGUUGCUUAUUAUAAGAUUUAUUACAAAAUCCCUGGUACUGAUUUCAGUUCGGGUUUCCGUGUCCAUUUCCCUUCUCUCACAGUCAACAGGACCCCGAACCCUAAAACCUCCAAACCCCAGCAAUGGCGGAUUGCCCCUCGUUCCGCCGCCACCCGCUCGCCUCCUCCAUCGACCUCGUCCGCUGGCUCCCAUCCUCCUCCACCUCCCCUUCCGGUCGCCUCCUCGCCGCUGCCGCCCACGACCCCACCUCCGCCCCCGCCGCCUCCAGCAUCCACCUUCUCCCCCUCUCCGACCCCGGCUCCCCGCUCGCCUCCCUCCCGCUCCCGUCCCGCGCCACGGCACUCCGCUGCUCCACUGCUGCGCUCGCCGCUGCCACCUCCUCGGGUUCGCUCCACUUCCUCCCCUCCUCGUUUGACUCGGACGCCGCAGUGUCCGUCCCCGGCGGCGCGGGCUUCCAUGUGGGCCCUGUCCGGGGCCUCGACUGCGGCGGGGAGGAGUGGGUCACAGCGGGGGAGGACGGAAGAGUGCAUGUGGUCGGCGGCGCAGCGGACGGGAGAGUGGUGGCGAGGAGGGUGUGGGACGGGAAAGGAAUGUCAGGGUAUGAAGCCGCCAGGUGGGCGUCGCCGGUGGAGUUCGCCACGGGGGGCGCCGGAUGUGGCGUGCAAUGGUGGGAUCGGAGGAAAGGGGACGCCGUCGUGGCGCAGUGUAACGGCAUCUGGUGAGUGUAGGAAAGCCUGGAUCUAUAGGGUUGUCUUUCUGGUUUAUGUUCCUGUUAACGAUGGAUUUCUGGUAGUUGUAAUAGAUUAUUUUUGUGGUUUUCUUGUGGAUUGGUACGUUAUCUCAGCACCUUUGAAAAUAUUGGCACAUCCACACAUUACUUUGAUGAACAUGUUUCACGAACAUUUUAGUUAUGUCAGCACCUUUCAAAAUAUUGCACAUCCACACAUUAGUUUGAUUAACAUGUUUCACAAACACUUUAGUUAUGUCUGUACCUUUCAAAAUAUUUUCACAUCCAUAUCUUCCAUUAUGGAAGCGGGAAGCCUAACUCAAUGUUCACCAUUUGUAAUAAAUGUUCCUAGCCAUGCAUAAGCUCUGGUGCAGAGGUCAGAUUAUUGUGCAUCUCUAUCAUUUUUUUUAUGUUUUGGCUGUGCACUACCAAAGAUGGUUUCAGUAGGUUUGGUGCAUGCCUGUUAAUAUUGAAGAUACUUUCUGGAUGGUUUCAUGCAUGUCUGUUACUAUCUUUGUUCUGAACUGAUAAAUGAGACUGUCAUUUCAGUUUAUUGUAGCAGUGCAAUAGUUGUAGUCACUGCUUGGUUUCAUUCCAAUCUCACCCACUCCACUUCUAUGUGAGUACAUUUGUAAGAUCUUGAUGACAUCUGUGAAUUGUGGUUAAAAGAAAAUCUGGUGUACCAAAAUCAUGCUUAUUCUCCAAAACUCACGUCAUGCAUUAGAGGUUUCUGGUACAUACACAGAAAGAUUACAUUGAGCCAUUGAGGUGAAAUUUAUAGGUUUAAAUUUGUUUUCAACUGGUGUCUGAACCAUAUAUUCUACAAGAUCAAAGUAGUUUUUGUAUCUUAAUUGAACCAGCUCUGGUGGCCUCCUGUAAUUGCCCUCUUUAAAGUGAGUUAACUAUGCUGCUAACAGAUGAGAUAAAAUAGAAAAUAUCGAACUCCAAACAUUCUUGUUGUCAUAUGUUUUUCAUUGUACCUGUUAUGCCAAGCGCUGCUAUCUUGCUGACAAUGGGUGAACUUGCAAAUACAGGGGUCAUGGCAUAGUUACUGGCAUGGUGCAUUCCAUUGACAUUCAUCCGUCAAGAAAGCAUAUCUGUGUGGUAAGAUCAAUAUGUGGUAGCAAAUGCAAGUUUACUUUGAAUAAAUAAAUGAUUUUAGUUAUGUGUUAUGUUCCAUCUUAAUAGUUUUGAGGAUCUAACCUCUAGGAUAACCAAUCGUCCCAAGUACCAUGUAACUUAGUGAUGAACUGAUUUAGGUUGUUGAUGGUUGAGCAAAUUAAUGUACACCAAUAAGCUUCCAUUUGAAAUAUGGAAUUCAUUCAGGAAAUAACCUGUCUAGUACCAACUAUAUCAAGCAGCGUUCAAUCUUUUUUCCCCAAAAUUCCUUUGAAAAUUCAUAUAUAUCCCAAACAGGUCUUGUUUUUUUCAGUAAGAGGUAACCUACAUCAAUUCACUAGAGAAAUCUUGCAAUUGAAGUUUAGACAAAUAGAAAAGAAUCAAGCACCUUGUUUGUCAGUUUCAGUUGUGUUAUUUUCUGGCUUCGAGCCUUCGACGGUUCAGCCAGUGAUGUUAUUUUCUGACUUCAGCCUCAGAGCUAGUAAUUAAUACCUUUGUAAUGAUUUCCAUGUUGAAAAGAAGCUUACCUUGUGUAUAACCCAAAGCAUUUAAAUUGAAAAUACAAAACUAUGAUCUAUAUACACCUUGAAUGCAUUAGGUUAUAUUUGUCGAAGCAGUUUCACUUUCUAUAUUUUCCAAAUGUAAAAUGUUCUUAACAGAGCAGCUUUUUCAUGCAAUCAAGAACCAGAAGGUUAUGUUGGCUUACCUUUUUUUCUGAAACUGAUUUGCUGUUUUGUAGAAUUAUUUUGCCCUAUGAUAUGAAAUAUCCAAAUUCAUUGAAAUAUUUAGUUAAAUUGAGAUGAGUUGGUUAAUGUACCAGUGUCCAUGCCCUCUAGUGUAUGCUCUUGCACCCGUGUAUACCUAAUAAAUGAGCCUGAGCAGUGAGGCAUAUCGGGCCUAGAGGACUCUAGCUAACGUAGUCCACUGGGAGCUUGGACUCUAUGGAUGCAGGUCACUGCAUUGCUGACAGUGAGGAGCAGAAAACUCAUGCUAUUGCUAGUGCGCAGACCCUACCGCUCCAGUUUUAGUCCACCCAUGUUGAGCACAUAGUUGAAAUGAGUUUUAUGGGUGUGAUUACAUGAGUCAUAUCUGCAGCAUGGCUCAUCUCUGAAUGUUUGCAGGUGGGAGGCUCAUCAGGGACCAUAUUUGCCUGGGAUCUGCGGUGGCCACAGCAGCCGAUACCACUCUCUGGUGUAGGCCUUAAUAGAACAGCUGAGCCUGUGUGUGAAAGUGAGGUGUGGGAGGUUCUUUUUGACACUUGCACUCAGUCUUCUGAUAUCAUCUCAUCUGCAUCUGCAAGAAUAUUGCCAGUGAUGAUGUGUUCAGAGGAUGGGAUCCUUGCAGUUGUCGAACAAGGUAAGUGAGAUGUACAUGUAGCGUUCGGAUUGUUGGUGUUUAGUGUUUACUCAUCUUUAAUUAAUGUGCCUUUUUCCGAUUAGCAGAUGAGAGACCCCUUGAAUUGCUUGCUGAAGCUUGUGCUAUCAACUCCUUUGACAUAGAUCCUCAGAACCCCUCUGUAAGUCCUUGACUUCACCUGGUCAAGUGAAAAGUUUUUUGUUAUUUUUUGAGGGGUAACAGUUUUUAUUAUUUAUAGGUAAUGUCAGUAUGUUGUGUUAAUACUGUUAUGGAUUUGUCGCAGGAUGUUGUUUGUGCAUUGGAAUGGGAAUCGAUCGGUGUCCUAACUCGUGGUAGAGAUGCAAUGGCAGAAUAAUGAAAUUUUUCACCACCCAGGGAUUCCAAUCAGAAUUUUCUGCAAGGUGGCUGAAACUACUGUCAGAAAGAAUCUUCUGACUUCUGAGGGCUUCAUAUUCAGGGACCAUUCUCAUGGUAUUGGGCAACGGUAGAAGGAAUAAAGCGUGCUUGACGAGUGCUCUUUCCUGUCUCUGCAUACUAACCAGGUUUUACUUAUUAUGAGCUUCUGUUGUCAUGGGUAACUGCAGAUUGUAGAAACAUUUUCUGGUGUAGCUCCAAGUUGUGUAAUUGGUUCACUAUUGGAUGCUAACUGCUGACAGUUUGAAGGAGAGUCAUCACAAACAAUUCAUUCCUUUUAGUUGGGGGCUGAUGGACUCAAGGGGCUGUUUGGUUCUUGUGGCGUAUAUUUACACUGCAUGUGCAUGUGGCUGCCACAGUCUAUAGAGCGAACCAAACAGCUGGUUCGCCUUGUGUGGCGUGCAGUAGGUUAGGCUGGCGGAGUGCGGUGUGGAACCAAACAGCCGGUUGAGCUAUAGUUUGUUUCAUAAUGUUUGCGUUUUCCCUAGCACGCCAUGUGGUGUUAAAUCAGCUCCUGAACAUUAUGGACUCCAUUACGUAUUUUAUUCAUCUGGUUGACAAUUUAGAAAUUCUUGUUACUAAUGCAUAACUGAUGAAUCUGAAGGUGGACACGGCUUGUCGAGUGGUACAUCGAUCUAUGUAAUCUAAAGCCAAGGGCAAGACAUCGACAGCUCACACUGGUGCUAUGUAAAUUUUGAAAUAGAAGGCUGUAAAUUUUGAAUAGCGCUUUUUUUUAAUAACAAACAACUUCAUAUAUUAGCAGCAAUGUGCUGCUGAAAUGAUUAAAUCGUUCAAGCGUACCUCAAGAAGGGCUUAGCAACACUGGGGUACAUGAUGCUCAGAUGAGCAUAAAAAGUAAGGUUCCCUGUGAGCUGAGUUCCUGGAAUGCCUAGUAUGAGCUGUAGAGUUUAAGCUUCCGUGGAUCUCGUGGGUAGUAGCUGAAGAAGAGACUGCAUUAUUUGUGUUGAAAGUGAAUGUAAAUUAAUUGCUAAUCUCUAACACUAAUCGUAACUGUUUGUAUGGAUGUCGUACGGAUGAGAUCAUCAGUGAAUGGAUGCCUACUAGGAUUAGGCGUUUCACAACACUCCCCCUUGAUUGAAUCUUCUUUGAUAUUGAUGUAGCUGUAAACUUGGAUUUCUUGAAAAAACCUGUGAGAAAUCUGAGGAAUAUAUAUGUAUAGGUAUAUCAUAAAAGUUCCUUUAAACCUUAUAGGUAAAUAGAGAAAAUAGCAUAUAUGAGUGUGAUUUAAAUAAAUCAUUAUGUCAUUGGUAUCCCAUUAAAAACCCUAGUAGGGAAAAAUAUUGGAGAUAUGACAUAUUGAUUACUCCUCCCAAAACCCUUUUUAGGAAAAAAUAUGAGGAGCAAUAUAAAAUGAUAUGCCGCUAAAACUUCUAUAAAAACUUAGUGGGAAAAUUAGGAUAAAAUGUGACAACCGGUAUUGCCUCUUGGAUAACUCCCACCAAAAAACUUUGCAGGGAAAAACCAUGGAUGAGUUAUGAAGGCAAUGUGUGUCUUUGAUAUUUCCCACAAAAACCCCAAUGGGGAAAAUAGAAAAUAUGACAUAUGCUUAUGUUAAUAUUACCUCAUUAGAAACUUUGACAAGAAACCUUUUGAGUAAAACUUAUAAAAUAAAAGAGUAUAAUAUGAUGCUGGUACAGGUGGCAUUUAGGAGAUGUCUUCUCUUGAUUCUGGCAAAUCUCGAAGUCGUCGCAUACCAAUUCAUGUCAUUUGAGAUUGCAAUUUUACCAAGCCCCUUGACCUUGCCUUUCUUGUUGUUGCCGAAGGUGAUAGAAUCAAAGCCACCAUUUUGAUUUGUAUCAAUUGAUUUGAACAUACAAGACUCUCCAGCCAUAUGUUGAGUGCACCCACUAUCAAGCACCCAAUGUCUUCCUCCGGCUUUGUAAUUAACCUACAAGUCAAGAUCAAUUCCUUUUAGGUACCCAAAUUUGAUUGGGUCCUCUAAGGUUAGCAACUAAGCUCUUUGUUACCCAAAUGACUUUCUUAUUUGAACCCAUCCAUGGUGCACAAAUGAACUUAGCAUGAACACCUUUUGUAUACUUGGUAAGUACAUAGAAAGAAUUAAGCUUAACUCAUGUAUUGUUGCUCUAGGUGACCAACUUGCUUGCAAGCUUUGCAAUACCAACCAUUGUUCUUCACAAAACAUGUCUUGUGAGGAGCAAAGGCGGCCUUGCCUUUCUUGGGGUUAUAGCCCAAUCCCUCUUUGUAGAGAGAAGCUCUUUGGCUACCUAAGCACAUAAGCAAGCGGUCCUCACCACCAUAGGCCUUAGCUAAGGUGUGAUUGAGCUCUUUCACCUCCUUCUUGAGAAUUUCAUUCUCAACCAUCAGUGUGGAGUCACAAGUGAAACCAUCAAUACUAGAUGAGGAUGAUGUAGAUGUGCUACAUGAAGGGUUAGUUGAAGCAAUAACAAUAGGCUUACUUAAGAUAUCACAUGUUAUGCCUAUGUUGCAAGUUUGAGCUUUUUCAGUUUUAGUUGGCAUGGAUUCACAUUUGUCAACUAGAGAGGAAGGAGCUUCUUCAAGCUUAGUGUGAGCCUUUUGAAGCUUCUUAUGGUCUUCCUUUAGAUUCUCAUAAGAUGCUCUAAGCUCAUCAAGUUCUUGCUCAAGGGUUUUCUUAUCCUUAAGUAAGGCCUUGCAUUCCUUCCUAGAUUUUUUAAAGUGUUGUGUGCAAUCUUCUAGCAUAGUGAUUAGUUCAUCUUUAGUUGGUUCAUCAUCAUCACUAUCACUAUCAUUAGCAUGAUCACUCUCAUCAUCGGAUGAUACCUUAGUGGUGUUAGCCAUGAAGCAUGAAGAAGUGUCGAAGAUGGAGCUCUUUCCUUGAAUUGCAAUGCUAGCAUGCCCCUUCUUCUUGGUGCUCUCAUCAUCACUUGAGGAGUCAUCACUAUCCCAAGUUGCAACAUGGGCAUCACUGAAAGGUCCUUGUUUGGUUUUGGUAAUUGAGUGACAACUUAGGUGGACUAAUAGUGUUUAUGUGAGAUACACAGGAGAUUAGUCCACAGGUGAUGAUGCGAUGAUGGAGGAGCUCAUUGCACAUGAGACAUGACAUGGAGUCAUGUGACCAAGGUGGAGAAGAUCAAGAUGAGGCUUGGCUUGAUGGACCGAUUGCAAGAGUGAAGGGCAAGUCGGAGGCUUUGAAGCGAGGGACCGCGUGUGACGGUGAAGCUUGAGCAAGACUUGGCGCCGAUGGACCGAGGCAACGGUGAAGAGCAAGUGAGGUCAAGAUCGAUGAACCAAUACGAUCACGUGAUGAUAUGAAGUGGAUCAUAUCAUUUGGUGAUUGGUUGGUGCAUGUGUUGCAUCAAUAUUGGAGGAGAUAGAAUGGAAAGCGCAAGGCAAAGGUAUAACCUAGGGCAUUUCCAUUUCACCGGUCAUAGGUGUGUAGAGAAGUUUAUGACUAGAUUUAGGAUAGAUGGCCGUACUAUCAAGAGGGGCAAACUUGUUUGCAUAUCGGUCAUCUAGUGCCACUUGAGCGAUCUAACUUUGCAUACGUGUUAGAAUCGAGUGGCGUGGCAAGUUGAGAGGCUAACUCCUUUGGGAAAAUGUUUGUGAAAAGCUAACACACUUGCACUUUGGUGGUGGACACUUGUUGGUGUUAGCACAUUUGCAAAGGAGGUGGAGUUCCUAGGGUUGAGAGGGGUGUGGGUUCCUCGGCGCUUUUGAGAAAAUUAAGUGCAUAUUUUCUAUUGCGCCGGUGGGAAAUUUGGAGAAGUCACGGGAGUGUUUCUCAGUAGGAAACACUCACCGGA